AAGGAAUUUCGUCUUUAUUACUUUGUAUUAUGUAUAUUCUGUCAAAUAUAAUCAUGUAAAUUGGGAAAGCUAAUGAACCUUUUUUUUUACAGCUUACACAACUUAUCCAAGGAAACAAUGCAGCAUCCUGUACUUAUUCACUGUCAAGAAGAUUAAAUAUAAAUUAAACGUUGUGGAAUAAAAAUCUAAUUAACUGUUGCAGGUUCUGUUGGAUUCGAACCGCCGGGUGGGGCAGGAGCCUUCAGCAGUACUUGCCUGAUAAUCAGAUCCUCAAUAGGGAAGUCCUGAUUAUGCAAAACAUCCUUCUUCACCGUCAUCAACUUGUCUUUCCCAUGAUACAACACUCUGCAGGCCCCAUUCGACUGCGUGUUCACAAGAAAAACCACUACCAUUGCCACCAAAAGUAUAUUUAAAAACUUCAUGUUGUUCCUUGUUUGGCAAACAACGACUUUAUUAAUUUGCUCUUUUUUUCUUCUCUUUUCUUCUCAAGCUGUAUGCAAUGCAAAUAAAAGAUGGAAAUCGGAAGGAUUGAGUUGCAAUGAAUAAUAAGUGGGGGAUAUUUUAUAGGGCUUGCUAGCUCUGCUAUUAUAUAUAUAUAUAUAUAUAUAUAUAUAUAUAUAUAUAUAUGAAAUAUUGUAUGGACUAACAGAACUGAUAUUAUACGACUUGAAAUUUUCAAUAACAUUUACCGAGCUAUAUUUAUAUGUUUUGACCAUUGACGGUCGUUUCAAAAUGUUAGAAAUUGAAUAGUAAACCGAGUGAGAAAUUUGGGAAUUGAUCAAAUUCAUUUGCUUCCUUGGCAAACUGAUGAGAACUGAUAACUAAAGGAUAUGGUGGGAAAGCGUUUACAAAGACCUUUGAAAGUUUGUAGUAUUGGGUGUGCUAACCUUUUACACGGCAUGAAUAUAAAAAAGUUGAAUUUUAUCGUUGAUCGCUGAAGUCCCAUUUGACCUUAAAUUAAUGUCAUGCAUGAUAUGAAGAAUGACUAGAUUAGUUUCUAUUAUGAUUUGGUGUAAUAAACAGUCUCACGAGGGAAUGCAUACACCAUACUUGUUUGCAAAUAACGUAUUUUCAUUAUACAAUUUUAUAAUCUUAACGCUAAAAUUGUUGUGGUAGAUAAGAUGAUGUCUUGUACUUUUUAUUUAAUUGUGAUAACACGCUUUGACUGUCGUAGAACUUCAAACUUUUCAUCAUGUCCAGAAUAGUAACGGGCACAGUGUCCGUGGUAGAUUGCAAUCAACCACGGGCAUUCACCAUGAUAGAUGUGGGUUUUUCUUCUUGUAUAUAUGUGUAAUGCUAGAGAGAGCAAAUUACUAAGCCAAAUGGUAUGAAUGUGGAUGUGGAUGAUUAGAUUAUAACUUAAGCAUUGAUUAACGUGCUUAUUUCAUGUCGGUGACACAUCAUUUGUUUGCAACUAGAAGAAAAAAAGCUCAUCUAUUAUGGUUGAUACCCAUGGUAGAUUGCAAUCCACCACGAACAAUGUGCCCGUUAGUAAUCUGGAUGUGAUAGAAAGUCAUAGUUUCAACUACAGGCUAUGCUCGUUGCCUAAUGUGAAGCAACCACGGAUUGUGCCCGUGGUAGAUUAAAAUCUAACACCACGUGCACUAUAGACGUUGUGGAUUCCAAAUUGACUGAAACCAAUGCCCGUUAUAAAACAAUUCCCAAAAUUUUUUUUUAAAAAAAAAUUAUUCAAUAAAAAUUAUAUAUAUAAAUAUUUAUAUACAAAUUGCAUAUUUACUACAAUAUAACGAUUACAUAAAAAAUCAUAGAUUAAAAUUUCAAAUAUUACAAGAUGUACACUAAAACUAAUAACAAACCAAUGAGUUAUACUAAGAAAUACCAAACCAUCCAAGAAGUAUCAAAUAGGCCAUAACAAGGACAUUGUCGCUUGAACACUUCAGAUUUCUUUGAAUACCUCCAAACGAAAGAACCUUGAGAGUGAAAUACUGCCCCUAAAGCUUGACCCUUAACAAUUGUUGCCUCUCUCUAUCUGCAUGGACAUAAGCAUAUGGAUCAAAAGAAAGAAAUUCUUGUACUGUUAUAGGCAGAAAUAAAAAUUUGAUCUCAAUCAAGAAAAGUGAAAAGACAUACAAAACUUGAAGCCAAAAGUUUUAUAUAUAUUUUUUUUUGUCAAAAAAAAGUCAAAAGUUAACUAGUAAAGACUUGUACAGAUAUACGAAUCUCCAAUAGUCCACAUAAGAAGCCAAAAAUCAACCAGUAAAGAAUCGAACAGAUAUAAAGACCUAACUCUAACAAGAGCAUGUAGUGCAAAAUUAGAAUUGCAUAUGCAGUGAAUGAAGUAAAUACAGAGCUUAACUUACAAUCAUCAAUUCUCAGGUUUCUAGGUAUUCCUCUCAACUGCUCUGCCUCUAAAACUAGCAUUUCAUGUACAGUUUUUGCCUCUAAACCUUUCUAUUGAUGCAUCCCUCUGAAACUACAUAUAUUUAUGCAAACAUAUACUAUACAAGAUUAAUCAAAUCAAUACCAUAAUCAGAAACUUUUUUGUUUUUUAAUAAACCAUAAACAUUAGUAACCAAACCAAUACUAUAAACUAAAUCAUUAAUUAGCCCAAAAAUUAAUAUCAAAUUUUUACCUUGUUUGCAAGUUCUUUGUGCAAAUAGAAACUGGAAACUGCAAAGCAAAGAAACCACGGCUUAAGAAUGAAACAUCACUCAAAAUUUAUAUUAAAAAAAACUUAAAACAUAUAAAAAGUUAAAAAUUACCUGUGGAGAAGAGUGCUAGCAUGUCUCAAAUCUAGAGUCUUGAAAUAUUAAUUUCAUUAGAUUACUAAUUCACGACUGACUGACGAUAACGAUUGAUUUUUAUUUUCCAUAUUCAACACCAGAAUUUGAUAACUUUUUCUCCAAAGGCUGCCCACUAAUUAAAGUUUUCAAUUAAACAAUUGGUGAUAAAAUCAAACUCCGCAAACUAAAAUUAUAAGCAUGAAUAAGCAUUGAGUUUGGUAUGAUUAAAGACCAAGAAGGGGAAAUUAGAAUCACAAUUUGGGAUGGAAUUCAAGAAACACAAUUCCAAAAAGAGUAUAAUCAGAAUCACACUUAAGGAGUUGGGAGUCAAAAUUGUCUAAAUAAUAUCAUUAAAUUCAGAUAACAACGAAAAAAAAAAAAAAAAACCAAGCACUGUGAUUGGAUUGCAAAACAAGCAUGCAAUUAAAAAACUAGUGCAGCCCUCAGUCUCUCAGUUUUCAAAAUCCUUAACCCCUUCAAUGCUCACCAUUCGAAACCCCAAAACACACAUUUUCAUAGAGAAAGCCAUAAAUCCAACUCCAUCUCUCUGGUUUUGAAACCCUAGCCCAAUCCCCGAUCCCUAAUCUUUCGAUUUUAAAACUUGAGAUCAAAAUCACCAAAAUGGAGAACUUGAAAUCAAAAUUGAAGAAGUAAUACCUUCAACGAAAUUUGGACAUAUGUAAAUCAAAAUCGAAUUUAAAUUCAAGUUCAAAAUCGAACUCAACUAGAAUUAGAUCGAAGCAAAAUCUAAUAAACAAUAGCAAUUUGAGAAAUCAAACUUAGAGAAAUAUAUAGAGCUCACACCUGAAGAAGUUAUAACAUAGAAAGAAAGAAUCACAAUUUCAUCAAUGGUGGAGAUUUGCCGCCUAAAAUUUAAUCGAUCUUAGAGAUCCAUUCCUAUUCCGCCACCGCCUCUGAAAUCCACCGAGAUAUACACCAGCGAGAUCUCGUGCUCUCUAGUUGGAGACGAAGACGAAGAUCCUAUAGAUUGGGAAUACCUGACAUGCCCAAAGAAAUAGAAAAAAAAAAUUAGGGUUCGAAUAGUGUAUACGAACAAGGCAAAGAAAUGAGUAGUUUGGGGUCGGAGUAAUUGUCGACAUAAGAAUAGGGGGUGAGACCUAGUGGUUGGCGGUGUCUGAUAUGAAAACGGUAAAUAGGUUUCAUUGAGAUCUGAAAUUUGAGUGUUUAUUCUUAUACUGGUUGAUUAAAAAAAUGAAAAAUUAUAAUUAUAACGACAAUACUUAUAGUUUGUGGUAGAUUUAAAAUGUCGCUGUUGUCAAAAUUUUUGUAACCACAGACAUGCCUCGUGAUAAUAUAUAGCCAAACCACAAUGGGCUUUAAACACACGUUGUUGCUUCAACACCUUCAAUCACCGAACACUCUACGCCUGUUGUUAAACUAAUUUAUUUACCACAAACUUCAAACGUCUGUCAUUAAAUUGGACUUUUUAUAACGGACUUCUUAUGUCCAUGGACAAUCAGCCAUGGUAGAUAUGGUGCUGUGGCGUAUAAAUUUGGUCCCUAGCAUUAUCUAUAGUUAACUGCUAUUAACCAUCCCAACUAAUCACCUCAUAGGAUGGUGACACGUGGCAUACACAAAGUGAUCACAUUUGUCACUUAAUGUUAUAACCCAAAAAAAGACGUGCGUCACUUAAUACAUUCCAUAUAUAUAUUUGGGAGUUUUAACGAAAAGCCCACGGUACUGUUCACUUUAAAAAAAAACCACAUUUUUACAUUAAAAAGUCAAACCUGAUACUAUUCACUUUACCCUUUAUUUUGUCCUUAUCGUUAAAACUCAAAGUUUUCAAGCAUUUUUCAUUAGUUUUCCUUUUGCAUGUAAAUUUUCUUGAUGAUUAUUAUUUUUAAAUGAUGCAAAACAACGUUAAUAAGUUUAAAUCAAACUCAACGGGGAGGAGCGUAUGAAUUAACACCAAAACCAUGGAUCCAACUAACAGCUAGCGCGCGCCAACUGUUUGAUAUAUAUUUUGAAUUUGAUGCUCCACAGUCCACAGGCAUAUAGUUCAUGAUAUUGCAUGACAUUGUAAAACAAAGAAAACGUUCAUAUGUUAUUGCAUGACUCGUUAUUAAUGCAUACUAAUUUCAGAUAUCAUGUAAUGUUAGACACUUUCAUACACCAUGCACUUUUUGUGAACUGAAAUAUUUAGUUGAAAGGAUUGGUGUUGGCUUCAAAUUGUGAAUGGCACUAUUUAGUUGAAAGGGUUUUUUUCUCCGGCACGAAUUAUUUUAUCAAUGUGACCGUCACAUGUAUUACCUAUCCAUUCAUGUUAUAAUGAGUGGAGUGCUAAAUAACACUAAGUGAUAGCUAAACCGUCUCACUUUAAAAUUAGACUAAAAAAGGUGCCUUAAUUUCAAACCAGAUAUGUAGAGCUUUCACUCUAACACAAACACACACAUUUGUGGUAUAAUACUUAUGUAUAUCUCUGCAAAACACUGUCAGAGGUGUUUGUAGACCAGGUAAUAUAUUUUCGCAAUUCUAUAGUUUAAUUUCUGGUCAACAAAAUGGUAUUUGAUUUUAAACUCAGUGUUAAAUUAAAAGGUAACAAACCCAUGCUAGAGCUACAGAUGCACACAGGCACAAAAAGAAAUUAAUAAAUAUAUAUAAUUUUAUCUGUACUUCGUAUUAUUCAGUCAAUUUCAUACACAUUAGGAACCUAAUACACUUUUUUUUUUUACAUUCUUACACAUCUUAUAUAAGAAAAAAAAAACCCUAGACUGCAAGUAUUUUCCUGUACUUAUUCACUGCUAAGAAAAUAUAUCAAAUGUUUAAAAGGGGUUAAAAAUUAAUUCUGCUAGUGCUUUUCGUUGAUGGUUGCAGAGUCUUUGGAAUUGGUACAACUUCAAGGUUUAGUCGGAUUAGGACCUCCGGGAGGGACAGUGCCCCUAAGUAUUUGCCUGAUCAAAGGGAAGAAGGGACGAUCCAUCUGAUGCAAAACAUCAUUCUUCAUCUGAUGCAUAAACUUUUCUUCUCCAUGCAACACUCUGCAGGCUUCGGAGGAUUGCAUGUUCAUAAGAAAAACCACUAAAAACACUGCCACCAAAAACAUUUUUAGAAACUUCAUUUUGUUGGGCAGACAAAGAUUAUUUUGCUUCUUUAUUCUGUGGAAGAAGAAGGAAUGAAUGAACGAAGAUAAAGAUAAAGGUUUGUUGGAAACUAAGAUUUUGCUUCUUUUGUCUGUCUGAAAAAUAGGAAGGAUUGAAGUAAUGAAUGAAUUGAAGGAAUGAAUAGAUGGAGAAUACGGGGGGGCUCUUUUAUAGGCAUCAAUUAAGACCAACUUUCAUUUGACUUUGAUUUUUAUAAAUCUAUUUGUUUGUUUUGACUUGGAAUUGAAUGGGUCGUCAUACCCGCAAGGGCUUUGGUUUUAACUUUUGAAUUGAAUGGGUCAUCAUACCCGUAAGGGCUUUGGUUUUAUGGCUUCACUAUAUUGUGGGCCUAUAACAAAUCAAGGCUAAUUAAUAAAACACAAUCCUUCUUUUUACUCUUAAGUUGAGCUAUAGCUUUGUUUUUUUUUUUUUUUUUUUUUUUUUUUUUGGAAACGAGCUAUAGCUUUGUUUACUUAAUUAAUCCAGACAGUAAAACCUCUAUAUAGUCAUCAUGUUAGAACCAAGAGAAUUUUAUAACUUUAGGGACGUUAUUACUUAAUAGAGGUGUAGCUAAAAAAUAUUAUUAGUGGAGUACGUCAAUUUCUAAGAUGUAACAUUGAAAAAAGAAAGACACUCAAUCUUUAAAAUCUAGUGCAUGUUGUAUGUAGUACUCUCUUUAAGUUUAAUGCUUAUCGGAAACAUGCUUGAGAAGCUAGAAACAUUUGGGCUUCAACAAGAAACCGUCCAUUUGACGAGAUAUUACGUACUCGCAAGCUCAAAAGCAUGAUAUCAACUUAAAAAAAAUAAUACAUUGUCUCAAACAAUUAUAGAGAAAUAUUUUAGUUCAUCUUAAACUUUUAUUUGUAGCGUUGCAUAUUUUUGUACUUAUUAAUGAUUAUUACUACAUGGGGGCGAGGUCUUAAUACGUGACCUAUAAAAAUCAUCUUAUUAUAAUGCGGAGUUUAUUCUUUACAUAUAUAACUGAGUGCAAGUUGGGACCAUAAAUUUUUAUCACAAUUAAGGAGGUUAUUCCUAUAUAGAGUAUUAUAAUAAAGAAGUUUUACUUUAUAUUUUGUAAUUAAGUUGUCCUGGUUCAAAUUUUUUUAUUAACAUUACUAAUGGUAUAGAGGUAUUUUGACGAACUCUUGUCGAGUUUUUUUACUAUUUUCUUGAAUCGCAAUUUUGAACAGAAAUUGGAGUUUUUGCAUGCAAGUAAAAGCGUGUAUAAGGCCUUUGAAGUUUGAACGUUGACUAUUUUAAUUGAAGUUUUAGUUGUCAGCUACGGUGUUGGUGUGUGCUAACCACAUAUAUACAUUACACACACAAAAAUUGAAUCAUAUUGUGAGACUGAAGUCUUAUUUGACGUGAAAUGUUUCCGAGCUGUGUUUAUUUAAUUAAUUAAGACCUCUCUAAAACUAAUUAAGACUUCUCUAAUCAGUAGCGGAUUCAGGAUUUUAAACUCGAGGGGUCUCAUUAAUAAAGGUCAAAAAAUUUAUCAAAAUUAACAUUGAAAAGUUAAAUAUAAUAUAUUUCAUUCAAAAAUCAUACGCAAAACAAUAUUACAAGCUAUAAAAUCCUAAUUCAAGUCACUAAAAAAAAACACUUUGCGCGACGCAGGUCAGUCGUCGCGCAAAGUAAAAAAACGUCGCGCAAAACCUUGCCCAACUCACCUUGGUCGCGCGCAAACCGUCGCGGCAAGGCAGUGACAGAAGGCUUUGCGCGACGCAUGUAACCCGUCGUCGCGCAAAGUGGAUUUUGCGCGACGCAGCUACGUCGCGCAAAGCUGUUUUGCGCGACGUAGACUACGUCGCGCAAAUCCACUUUGCGCGACGCAUGUAACCCGUCGUCGCGCAAAGUGGAUUUGCGCGACGUAGUCUACGUCGCGCAAAGUCAAGAGACGCUACUUUGCGCGACGUAUGAAACGUCGCGCAAAUCAACUUUGCGCGACGCAUGUAACCCUUCGUUGCGCAAAUCUACUUUGAGCGACGUAUGCUACGUCGCGCAAAGUAGCGUCGCUUGACUUUGCACGACGUAAACUACGUCGCGCAAAGUGGAUUUUUUUUUUUUUUUUUUUUUUUUUUUGAAGAAAUGGUCAAAAAUAUUAUUUUCUUUGUAAUUACAAUUAUAAACAAUAAUUAAUGCACCAAAGAAAAAUAUUUCAUUAUAAAUAUAUAUAUAGGGUUUAUACAUUUCCAUAUAAAUAUGGAAAUGUAUUGUUUAUGUCCGAAUGAAAAAGAAAAAAACUACAAGUAAUCUUCUUGGUGAAAUGGCUACUAGGUAUCAGUAGGGUGAAGUGGCUCGAAAGUCGAAGGUGUAGCAAGAUCAGGUACUACUGGUAGUGAGAUUUGGAGGCCAGUCAUCUGUAUGGCUCGUACAAGGUCUCUCACUUGGCCAGCAUAAGCCUGCAGCUGCUCGCCCUGGGCCCUUAUCUGCUCCCUCAUCUGCUCGCCCUGGACCUGAAGCUGACCCUGUAGGGUUGUCACUUGCUCCUUCAAUGAAUCGACCUCUGCGGUGUUCGAUCUGGAAGAAGAGGCACCAGUCUCACGAACUCGUGCUUUCCCCAUGCCACGAACAACCUUGCCAUGACGACGACCAAGGUUCUGAUCUAAGACAUCAGUCAUGAUCUGAAAACCUGCAUCCUCGGGUACCGGGACGUCCUCAAUCGGGGUCUCAGGGGGAAGCUGCGAUGUUGCUUCUUGGAUAACAGCAGUGCGCUUUUCCACCAUAAGAGCCUGUAAUAAUAAAGAAAAAAACAUAUAUAUAAAUAAUAUUUGAACGAUUCAUGCAUACAUAUAAGAAUAAUAACAAUUACAUUUACUUACAUGAAGAUGCUCACUGUUCGCAUCUCCAGGUCGAACGUAAACAUCCUCGAACAUGUCGAUCUCUGGGAACUUAGAACCCUCCUGAAGAAAAAAAAAACAUUAAGAAAAUUUUAUUAAUCAAUAAUAAUAAAUAAAUUGUAUAAAAUUUCUAAAUUAAUAUACUUUUACCUGACGUCGUGCCUCAAGCCUAUACGAAAAGGGCUUCGAACCGGAAUGGUGAAGAAGUGUCUUUGACUCCCGAGCUAUCUUGCCAGCAACAGAUUUCUUCUGUUAAACACACAAUAUACAUGUUAGUGCGACUAUUUCAAAUAAAUUAAUAAAAAAAACCUUAAAAAUAACUAAAACAAUAAGAAAUUAUUAUUAAAAUAUUAUGUACAUACCACAAAUUUUGGGUCCGUAAAAUGUUUGCAGAGCCACUCCCAAUCCUCUGGCCGGUCCUUCAACUCGCUUGGGCAACCACUUAGGCGAGCAAUCUCCAAAGUAUCCCAUAGCUGAAAAUGCGUGUGAAGAUAGUUCUUCCAAUGUUUGUACCGGGUUGCUAAGGUCUCGUCUAAGUAGGCCUUGACCUCGGGGGAUAUAUCAUCAAGAUCAAAAAUGACCUACGAAUAUGAAAAACAAUAAAAUAAUAAUAAGAUAAUAUUAAGAUAUAAUAUAAUUUGGUUUUUAUUAUUUGUAAACAAAACUAAAAAAAUGAUAUUGAAUUCGAAUUUGUUUAUUUAGAUAAAAAGAAUGCAAGAAUCGUAAAUAUAAUUUAUGAACCCAAUGACAUUCAUGAACAAGCAACUCAAACAUGGCAUAAAGUACAAGAUUAUAAUAAACAAGAUUCAAUAAGAUUAGCUUAUGAAUUUGAAAAAGAAACAUAAGAGUUAAUUUCAAAUUUGAUGAAAUAGAUCAAAAUGAAUUAAAUAACUAGAUAAAAGAGUUAGAUGAUUGAAUUUCAUUACCAAAUUCGAAACAUACCUAAGUAAUCCAGUAAGUCAAAAUGAAUAUACAGAACAUCAAGAAGAACAAUAUUUUUAUGAAGAACCAAGUAGUUAAAGGAUAAAGAUUAAUAUACUAACAAACAACUUCAUUAUAAAGGCUAAAAAUUAAUAUACUAACCGACAACUUGUCUCGCACCAAAUCCUUCGUCCUAUCGGGAAUUUCUGCCCACUUCUCCCACUGCAUAGGACAAUUUUGUUUAAUAACAACACCACAGCUACUAACGACGAUGCUAUGCUGUUGUGCUGUAGCAGCUCCACGAUGUACCGGGUCAUACUCAAUCUUGAUCUUAGAGCCAGUCAAACGUACACUCUGUGCUGGCUUCAGCAUUCGACUAGGCCCCCUAGUUUUUUUUUUAGCUAGCCAAAAAUACUUAAAUGGUGAAAACCCUAAGCUUAAAUUUGCACAGAAAAUUCGACAUAACUUCCCCUAAUAGUAAAGCAUUUCCCAAAACCUUAAAACAUUAAAAUAACAGUAAUUCACAACCCACAACACAUUUUCACAAUCUAGCAAAUUUUCAGCAUCAUAAAAAUAAUACUUUUAAAAUGAAAAAAAAAAAUACAACGUAGUGAUCGAGAAUUAGAAAAAAACUACCUGGCUGGGAGGCCUCACCCUCAACCCUGGAUGCUGAGGAAGUGUGAUCAUAAGGGUCCGGCUCGCGACGACGCCGGUGAGGCCGCCGUGCACUGAGCGGGUGAACGGACACUGAUGACGUCGAUGAGACAGGCACCUGGGACGCCGUAGGAGUAGCCUCAAUAAAGGGAGUAGGCUCCCCAUUCAAUGGAGCACUCACGCAUGGAGCAGUAGAUGCUGAUAAUGUGGGAGGCGCAUUGGUCACACUCCGACGACGAGUGAUCAAAUGCGACAUCUAUACACUUUUUAAACCAUAAAAUUAUAACAUUAGAAACUAAUCAAUUAGCAACCAAAGUAAUAAGUAGGUUACCAACAUUCUUAAUUUCAAAAAAAAAGUACGGACAAUGUAUAUUUAAAUUGAGCAAGUAACAAAUUAUAUGCAACAACCUUAUGAACAACCUUGUGUAUAUGUGUGUGUGGAUCAACAAUUAGAUACACAAAAUAAAUGUCACUGGUGUAUGGCUGAUAUUAUUCAUUUGCAAUUUGCCACUAUCUGGUGAUUCACUUAUUGUCAGCUACUGUCCAGAGAUAUCACUACCAUGCACCAACUUUUUACUUGUCCUAGAGUUGAUACUUCAUUUUAUUUCAAGGAAUAAGGUGAUACAAAAAGAGGAUGAUGAAAAAGAAGAAACAAUAUCUUCCCCAAUAUGAAGAAUCAGAACGAAAAGCUAAAUCACAUAAGUUAUGACAUUAAACAACAGAAAAAGAUGAAAUUUAAGUCAUUUUUCGAUACAAGGGAUGAAGACUCAAAUUCAAGUCUUAUUUUCGGUAAUCUAGUUAUGUAGUUAAGAACUGUGAUAUCAAGCAAAGUAGGAAACCCAUUAAUCCAUUUAAAAAGAAAAACUUAAAUUACUAAUAUGGUUAAACUAAUAAAACUAUUAUAAAAAUUAAAACAGAAUAAGAAAUGGAAAUUCCAAAAUGCAGUGGCAAACAUUUUGCAAUCCAUCAUCCAACCAACUAAUCUUCCAAUAUUUGCAUAUAGAUACAUAUAUGUACACACACAUAUAUAUGCUUGGAAUAUGUAUUUAAUUAUUGCAGAGAAGCAAAACAGAGAAAUGAGAAAAUUAAAGGGAAAAGGAAAAGCAGAGAAGAGAAAGAGAACUGAGACUAGAAGAGUAAAUCACCCAUGAGUUCUAACUUCCUAUGUAUGGUAUAUUCCAAGGUCCUAACUUGUACAUCAAAGAGUAAAUUACAAGUCUUCUCUCCCCUCUUAACUUGUACAUCCAAGGUCCUAAAUAUAUCUAGUAAAGGCAUGUGCUUCACCUAAUAUCCUCUAUAAACAAACAGGGGAAAUUACACAAAGGCUUUGACUUUCGGUGAAGGUCAGAUUCAUUUCAAAAAUGCUCAAAUUAUGCUCUACAUACUCAAAUCAAUUUUGGUAAUAACUCAUAAAAACUGCCAAACAUAAAAAAAAAAACAAAAAACAAAAAACAAAAACAAAAACAAAAACAAAGACAGUUUAACAAAUGUUGAUGACUUUGAAGAAUGGGGCAGAGAGACUUGAGUCUAAUGAGCUCAGCAACUGCUUCCAUUUGUAGCGUCUUAGCACAUUACUUUACAUAAAGUGCAUGGAGGACUCUUAGAUAACAACAGCUUCAAGAAUUUAUAGUUUACAAGCAUUUGUCAAGGUUAAUCAAUAUUUUAUGUCCCAAUUUUUUGGAUUAUUGAAUACAUUUGAUUUGAUAUUAUGUUAUGUGAGUCCACCUUCGCAUCCUAAAUCGACAAAAUUGCAAAAGCUUCACCGAAAACACCUUCAUGUUCAUACACAAAAUACACAUACAAAUCAACAAAAUUGCAAAAACUUCACACAAUCAACUUGAAUCACAUCACAAAAAAAAUCAAUUUGACAAAACCCAACAUGCAAUUUGAACCUAAACCCUAAAUAACAAAAACCCAUAAAAAAUCAGAAACCCUCACCUUGAAUUUGGGACUUGAUUCGCGUCAGUUUCCAGAUUCGCGUCACUGCCCGUCGUUUAGAACGAGAGGGAGAGAGACAACUGACAGAGUAGUGGUGGUGAUGGUUGGAUUCGUGAUUGUGAAGAGGAAAGCUUGUGAAUGAGAGGGAGAGAGAUAUGUACGGGAAAAAGAGGAGAGAUGAGCAAGAGGGUUAUACAGGAAAGAGGGAAAGAAAGGUGAGGAAGAGGGUGGGAAAGAGGGAAAGAGAGGUGAGCAAGGGAACCAUACGGGAAAGAGGGAAAGAGAGGAUAGAUGAGCAAGAGGUUAUAUGGGAAAGAGGGAAAGGCCGAAAGAGUGCAAGAGGGAAGAGAGGUCUAUUAAUUAUACGGGAAAGAGUCGAAACUUAGGAAAAAUUGAAACAAAGCGCCUUUUUUUCACUGCUGCAUUGGAGCGCGAAAUUUAUCAUAUCUUGCGCGACGUUGGUAUACAAUUUGAUGUCGCGCAAAGUGCUUUUGCGCGACGACCAUGUUAAGGCGUCGCGCAAAGUUUUUUUUUUUUUUCAAUUAUUAUAAAAAUUACUGAAAAUAUGACUUUACUGCUUUCAAAUUCAAUUUUUUUUUACAUAAACCCCAAAAUAAUAUAUUUUUCUAAUAAAAACCAACAAAUUUUUAUUUUUACAUAUAUAUAUCAUUCAAUUUCUUAAGUGUUAUAAGUAUUAUAUAAAUAAAUUAAAAUCUAUUUAGUAAAUAUAUAUAUCAUUGAACUUGAUCAAAAACGCGUUGUACGAAAUCCACUAGUAAAUAUAUAUCUAAUUAGUUAAUAUAUAUAUGUAAUUAUAUUAUAUAAUUAUUAUAGUUUUUAGGGGUAUUAAAUCAUUGUAUUCAUAUAGGGUCAAGGAGUGUAGCUGCAAAAAAUCAUCAAAAUCGGAGUAAAAAUGACCGUUAAAUCAUGAUUUAUCUUUUUAUAACCGUCGAAAAGUUUUGUCCGGUUACUUGAUCUUUGAAUGUUUGUUUUUUGCAAUUUUUGGCGUAUGAGAUCUCGAAGUAUAUACAAACAUGUUUGACGGUUGGAUCAUUGAAACUAGUUUCGUAGAAUGAGUAUCCCAUCAAAACAAUAGAUUCACUAAUACUUAAGAAUUUAUUUAUACUUUCAUUAAGUAUAACAUAAGAUUUUUUUGGUAUCCAUUAGUGUAAAUAUUUUAAAUUGAAGAUCGAAUUCAAUCAUUGUAUUCAUAUAGGGUCAAGGAGUGUAGCUGCAAAAAAUCAUCAAAAUCGGAGUUAAAAUGACCGUUAAUCAUGAUUUUUCUUUUUAUAACCGUCGAAAAGUUUUGUCUGGUUACUUGAUCUCUGAAUGUUUGUUUUUUGCAAUUUUUGGCGUAUGCGAUCUCGAAGUAUAUACAAACAUGUUUGACGGUUGGAUCCUUGAAACUACUUUCGUAGAAUGAGUAUCCCAUCAAAACAAUAAAUUCACUAAUACUUAAGAGUUUAUUCAUACUUUCAUUAAGUAUAACAUAAGAUUUUUUUGGUAUCCACUAGUGUAAAUAUUUUAAAUUGAAGAUCGAAUUCAUUCAUUGUAUUCAUAUAGGAUUAAGGAGUGUAGCUAUAAAAUAAUCAAAAUCGGAGUUAAAAUAACCGUUAAAUCGUGAUUUUUUUCGUUUUUUAACCAUUGAAAAGUUUUGUUCGGUUACUUAAUCUCUGAAUGUUUGGUUUUUGCAAUUUUUUGCUGAUACGAUCUCGAAGUAUAUACAAACAAGUUUGACGGUUGGAUCGUUGAAAUUAGUUUCGUAUAAUUCGUAUCCCAUCAAGUUCAAUGGUGUGUAUAUAUAUAUAUAUAUUUAUUAAGUAGAUUUAAAUCUCUUUAUUUUGUACGUAUAAUUUACUGGUACACGAAGUAGUAUAUUACGUGUCAUUAUAAAAAUAGUGGGAUAUGUCAUAUAUGUGAUAAAAAGUUAAUAACUUAAAAAAAAAAAAUUUCUCACAACUUUUAUUAAUUUUCAUUUUCCCUCUCUUUUUUGUUUCAUUUUCUUUUUUCCGUGUCGUGUCGUGUCGUGUUAUUGGGUCGUGUCAGGAAUUGUCAGGCAUAUCUUCCAUAGUUCAUAUAUUCCCAUAAUACUAUAUAUGUAUCUCAUUUUAUGCUUGGCCUAAUAAAUAAAAGAUACCGUUAUUUUAGAGGAACUUUGGCUUGGUAUUUGCUUAAACUACAAGAAAUAUUAAUUUGUAAACACAUAUUAAGUCCCAACCAAAACCAUUUUGCCACCAACUCUUCCACUAACGCCAGCUCCUGUGUGCACCUCAAAAUCCUUAGCCUCCAUCACAUGUUCAGUUGAUCCAAACGUCUUUAGCAGCCUCUUACAAUUCAAACAAAUCACAAUUCUUCUCAGGCAUUAUCUCGAACACUUUAGCUGCAUCCUCAACCGACCCGCAUUUCCCAUACAUUGCAAUCAACGCAUUGCCUACAAACACAUCCGAAAUCAGUCCCAUCUAUUGAUCAAAUCCACAAACACAUCAAUGGCAUCAACAAAAAGCUCGUUUCUUGCAUACCCACUAACAAGCGCAUUCCACUGGAACAAGUUCUUCCUCUUCAGCCCGUCGAAAACUGAGCGGGAAUCCAAAGGAGAACCGCACAUUGCACAUGGUAAUGAUGCGUGUGUUGAGAACAAAAUCACAGUUGAAAACGGUCAACGCAGAGACCAAGUUGUGGACUUUGCGUCCGGUUUCGACGUACUUCUGGCGCCCGCAGGCCUGUAAAGAGGCUCCCAUGGCGUCCUUCCCUUGCUAUGAGCUGGAAACUGCAUCGUGAGAGUGUAAUUGAAAAAGGUCAGAGCCUCCGAGAGGUUUUCAUCCUAACUACUCUACAAACACUAACAUUUUUAAUGCAACUAAGCAAAUGAAGCUUUUAAUGUACAAAUUUGAAAAUAUAAGCACCAACCUCUGUGGCAAUAGAUACAGCACAGAACUCCUCAAUUGAGUAAUUGGAAACGAGCACUGCAUUAACUACCGUUUCCCAACUGUCAGAGUUCCUGUUAUAUCAAAGACAACCGUGUUCACCUGCAGGGAUCAAACACAUGUCAGUAAACGUCCAGACAUCAAUAAAGUGUGAAAUGCUAAAAAAUUUAUCAACCUUCAUGACUUAGGUACCUUCAUGCCCUUUUGUUCAACUUUUAAUUUUAGAAAGGAAAAAAAAAAAACAAAAAGAACGAAACAAUUAUUAGCCUUGUUUAUUAAAAUUAAUAUAAUUCAGGAUCCAAUCAAUCAAGUUACUAAACUACAUGUAAAUCAACACAAAUGGCAUAUUUGAUAAACACUAAGAUUUACUGCAAUAGAUAACCGCUUGAGCGGCAGAGACUAUCGCUUGAGCGGCAGAACUCAGUCAUACUACAGCUUGAGCGGCAGAGACCACCGCUUGAGCGGCAGAACUACAGCUUGAGCGGCAGAGACCACCGCUUGAGCGGCAGAACCCAAUUAUACCAAAAUCAAUGCAUGGACUGAUAUACAUGAAUAAGCAUGCAAACCUGAACUUGAAGCCAUGAUCUGUUUUAGGAUGUAUCUUCCCUUCUCUUGUACGACUACAAUGGAUGUAUUAGGUUUCAAAUGGGGCAACCUUGCUUAACUGUGAAUCAUCCAUAUUUAUACCGAGAAGAGGGACCAAUCCCAUUCUAUAUCUGAUAACUGCCUUAUCCCAUUAAUAAUGCAGUUAUCUUCAGUUAUUAUUAAGCCAACUGUUCUUCAUUAAUUCAAACAUGGCUUAAUCACAUUUUUCCCUCCAGUAUGUUUUACUUCAUUCGAAUAUAAAACCUUAAGAAGUCUAACCAUAUAUACAGCUCAUUUACCAAGUUCAGCUGCAAUCGGCAGUUUGAUGAACUCACAUAUAUGAAUUCAAGAAUGAUGAAAUCACAUGAAUUCUUACAUUGUUAUCAGAAAAGGAGUUGGGGAGAACUCUCCCUCAAUGAGAGCUGUUAUCUACAAGAAACUGGGAUCUAAAACUUGGCGAGUAUGGCUUGACAUGGACAAGGCCACCAAUCGUCAGAACCAAAGAGUCAUAUGAGACAGAUUCCAACUAUGAAAUGAUUGUUGCAUGUUCAAUCCCAAUACACUUGCACCCUCAGACAUAUGGAUAGUAUCUAAUCAGUAAUUGUCUUUUCCUAAUACCAAAACAAACAGGUUUUCGACGUCAUCGGAAGGAAAAGUAAGUAGGAACAAGUAUAAUGAAGGUACACCAGCAAAAAAAACAUGAAAUAAAAAUGCAUGAAAAGUUGAAAACCCAGAUUCUAAAUUGAAAAGCAAUUUGUUUCAACCAUUACUGCCGUAGGGAUUGCUAGUCCCAUGGCAAAAGGGCAAGCAACCACUAAUACUGAGAUACCGAAUUGUAAUGCCAGCUCAAAUUUAUCCAUGCCUUUUGGUAUCUAGUUUUCCGGAAAAAAGACCAAAUUCUCCAGGGAUGAACCAUCCAAGCCAUGUCAAAAAUGCAACAAUGACAACCUGAUGUAGGAAAGAAAAAAAAAUCAAUCAUGCAAUUGAAAAAUUGUCAUAAUAACGCAAUUAUCAAAUGCAACUAAGAGUAAAACAAAUAUAAAGAUAACAUAAAACAUACAACUUACAUGAUAUCUUUAUCUUUAUAGAAUGGAGACGAUGAGAUAAUUUGUUGGGAAUAUUAGUGUGGUAGAUGAGAAGCGGUGUUAAACCCUCAGCCUCCUGCUUUUUCCUUCACAAGUUUAUAUUAAUCCUCAUCCGAACUACAAUAAUAACUCUCACUAUCAUCACUACUACCAUUUCCGGAUUCCCAUUCGUCCUCAUCUUCGUUUGCCUUUUCCGCUGCAUUGUAUUGAGGUAGAUCACCAAGGUCAAUUGAUAUUUCGAAUUCGGGAACUCCAGGUACGUCAAACGGUUCUUGGACAAUAUUAGUAUCCCGAAGUGUUUCUUCACCAAUUUCUAUCGAAGAUGAUAACUGUUGGUCAGCGACAUUGUCGUCGUUCUCAUCAUGAUCUAGUUCCGGAAUAUCAUAUAGCCCUCUUCGAUCAAUCUUCUGAACAACUUUCCAACCAUUGCCGGCUUUAGGGGUCGUCUAGAUAGAAUAUUUGUUUCGCCAUAGUUGCCAAAAUGUAUGGGUCUUCAUCGUACCAAUGUCUCGUAGUGUUUACUGAUAGUAAACCAUGAUCUUGCUUAACACUCGUUCGGUUAUGUGGGUUUGUAUCAAACCAAAGACACUUAAACAGUAUCACUUGACACCUGUCUUUGUAAAGCAAUUGUACUACACACAAGUUAGUUUGCCAUAGAAAUCAAUGUCUUCACUGUCGCCAGCACCUGGGACAUGGACACCACUAUUUUGAGUAGACAACUUGUCAUCACGUGUUGCCCCUAAGAACUUGAUCCCAUUUACAUGACAACCCGAGAACAAUUCAACAUGAAGUGGUCCUCUCGCCAAGUUAUAUAAUUCUUCAUCGUAAGAGGGUGAAUUCAAUUCCUUCAAUUUGUUCAUCUAAUAUAACAUAUACAAAAAGUUAACUUGUUAAUGUAACCAAAUUUAAAGACAGGCAUGAACAAGUUGGAAAAUAUGCUUAAUUCAAACCACAUAAAACUUACAUGUGCGUGAAACCACGAAGGAAACAAAUCACGAUGCUUCUUCGCAUAUAAAUGUGAAGGAUGUUCCCGCUUCAUCAACCGUUCAUGCUCUUCAAGGUAUGGCAAAGCCUCGUGACAAUUGNNNNNNNNNNNNNNNNNNNNNNNNNNNNNNNNNNNNNNNNNNNNNNNNNNNNNNNNNNNNNNNNNNNNNNNNNNNNNNNNNNNNNNNNNNNNNNNNNNNNNNNNNNNNNNNNNNNNNNNNNNNNNNNNNNNNNNNNNNNNNNNNNNNNNNNNNNNNNNNNNNNNNNNNNNNNNNNNNNNNNNNNNNNNNNNNNNNNNNNNNNNNNNNNNNNNNNNNNNNNNNNNNNNNNNNNNNNNNNNNNNNNNNNNNNNNNNNNNNNNNNNNNNNNNNNNNNNNNNNNNNNNNNNNNNNNNNNNNNNNNNNNNNNNNNNNNNNNNNNNNNNNNNNNNNNNNNNNNNNNNNNNNNNNNNNNNNNNNNNNNNNNNNNNNNNNNNNNNNNNNNNNNNNNNNNNNNNNNNNNNNNNNNNNNNNNNNNNNNNNNNNNNNNNNNNNNNNNNNNNNNNNNNNNNNNNNNNNNNNNNNNNNNNNNNNNNNNNNNNNNNNNNNNNNNNNNNNNNNNNUUGUUUUUUUUUUUUUUUUUUUUUUUUUUGGAAACGAGCUAUAGCUUUGUUUACUUAAUUAAUCCAGACAGUAAAACCUCUAUAUAGUCAUCAUGUUAGAACCAAGAGAAUUUUAUAACUUUAGGGACGUUAUUACUUAAUAGAGGUGUAGCUAAAAAAUAUUAUUAGUGGAGUACGUCAAUUUCUAAGAUGUAACAUUGAAAAAAGAAAGACACUCAAUCUUUAAAAUCUAGUGCAUGUUGUAUGUAGUACUCUCUUUAAGUUUAAUGCUUAUCGGAAACAUGCUUGAGAAGCUAGAAACAUUUGGGCUUCAACAAGAAACCGUCCAUUUGACGAGAUAUUACGUACUCGCAAGCUCAAAAGCAUGAUAUCAACUUAAAAAAAAUAAUACAUUGUCUCAAACAAUUAUAGAGAAAUAUUUUAGUUCAUCUUAAACUUUUAUUUGUAGCGUUGCAUAUUUUUGUACUUAUUAAUGAUUAUUACUACAUGGGGGCGAGGUCUUAAUACGUGACCUAUAAAAAUCAUCUUAUUAUAAUGCGGAGUUUAUUCUUUACAUAUAUAAACUGAGUGCAAGUUGGGACCAUAAUUUUUAUCACAAUUAAGGAGGUUAUUCCUAUAUAGAGUAUUAUAAUAAAGAAGUUUUACUUUAUAUUUUGUAAUUAAGUUGUCCUGGUUCAAAUUUUUUUAUUAACAUUACUAAUGGUAUAGAGGUAUUUUGACGAACUCUUGUCGAGUUUUUUUACUAUUUUCUUGAAUCGCAAUUUUGAACAGAAAUUGGAGUUUUUGCAUGCAAGUAAAAGCGUGUAUAAGGCCUUUGAAGUUUGAACGUUGACUAUUUUAAUUGAAGUUUUAGUUGUCAGCUACGGUGUUGGUGUGUGCUAACCACAUAUAUACAUUACACACACAAAAAUUGAAUCAUAUUGUGAGACUGAAGUCUUAUUUGACGUGAAAUGUUUCCGAGCUGUGUUUAUUUAAUUAAUUAAGACCUCUCUAAAACUAAUUAAGACUUCUCUAAUCAGUAGCGGAUUCAGGAUUUUAAACUCGAGGGGUCUCAUUAAUAAAGGUCAAAAAAUUUAUCAAAAUUAACAUUGAAAAGUUAAAUAUAAUAUAUUUCAUUCAAAAAUCAUACGCAAAACAAUAUUACAAGCUAUAAAAUCCUAAUUCAAGUCACUAGUAAAAAAAACACUUUGCGCGACGCAGGUCAGUCGUCGCGCAAAGUAAAAAAACGUCGCGCAAAACCUUGCCCAACUCACCUUGGUCGCGCGCAAACCGUCGCGGCAAGGCAGUGACAGAAGGCUUUGCGCGACGCAUGUAACCCGUCGUCGCGCAAAGUGGAUUUUGCGCGACGCAGCUACGUCGCGCAAAGCUGUUUUGCGCGACGUAGACUACGUCGCGCAAAUCCACUUUGCGCGACGCAUGUAACCCGUCGUCGCGCAAAGUGGAUUUGCGCGACGUAGUCUACGUCGCGCAAAGUCAAGAGACGCUACUUUGCGCGACGUAUGAAACGUCGCGCAAAUCAACUUUGCGCGACGCAUGUAACCCUUCGUUGCGCAAAUCUACUUUGAGCGACGUAUGCUACGUCGCGCAAAGUAGCGUCGCUUGACUUUGCACGACGUAAACUACGUCGCGCAAAGUGGAUUUUUUUUUUUUUUUUUUUUUUGAAGAAAUGGUCAAAAAUAUUAUUUUCUUUGUAAUUACAAUUAUAAACAAUAAUUAAUGCACCAAAGAAAAAUAUUUCAUUAUAAUAUAUAUAUAGGGUUUAUACAUUUCCAUAUAAAUAUGGAAAUGUAUUGUUUAUGUCCGAAUGAAAAAGAAAAAAACUACAAGUAAUCUUCUUGGUGAAAUGGCUACUAGGUAUCAGUAGGGUGAAGUGGCUCGAAAGUCGAAGGUGUAGCAAGAUCAGGUACUACUGGUAGUGAGAUUUGGAGGCCAGUCAUCUGUAUGGCUCGUACAAGGUCUCUCACUUGGCCAGCAUAAGCCUGCAGCUGCUCGCCCUGGGCCCUUAUCUGCUCCCUCAUCUGCUCGCCCUGGACCUGAAGCUGACCCUGUAGGGUUGUCACUUGCUCCUUCAAUGAAUCGACCUCUGCGGUGUUCGAUCUGGAAGAAGAGGCACCAGUCUCACGAACUCGUGCUUUCCCCAUGCCACGAACAACCUUGCCAUGACGACGACCAAGGUUCUGAUCUAAGACAUCAGUCAUGAUCUGAAAACCUGCAUCCUCGGGUACCGGGACGUCCUCAAUCGGGGUCUCAGGGGGAAGCUGCGAUGUUGCUUCUUGGAUAACAGCAGUGCGCUUUUCCACCAUAAGAGCCUGUAAUAAUAAAGAAAAAACAUAUAUAUAUAAUAAUAUUUGAACGAUUCAUGCAUACAUAUAAGAAUAAUAACAAUUACAUUUACUUACAUGAAGAUGCUCACUGUUCGCAUCUCCAGGUCGAACGUAAACAUCCUCGAACAUGUCGAUCUCUGGGAACUUAGAACCCUCCUGAAGAAAAAAAAAACAUUAAGAAAAUUUUAUUAAUCAAUAAUAAUAAAUAAAUUGUAUAAAAUUUCUAAAUUAAUAUACUUUUACCUGACGUCGUGCCUCAAGCCUAUACGAAAAGGGCUUCGAACCGGAAUGGUGAAGAAGUGUCUUUGACUCCCGAGCUAUCUUGCCAGCAACAGAUUUCUUCUGUUAAACACACAAUAUACAUGUUAGUGCGACUAUUUCAAAUAAAUUAAUAAAAAAACCUUAAAAAUAACUAAAACAAUAAGAAAUUAUUAUUAAAAUAUUAUGUACAUACCACAAAUUUUGGGUCCGUAAAAUGUUUGCAGAGCCACUCCCAAUCCUCUGGCCGGUCCUUCAACUCGCUUGGGCAACCACUUAGGCGAGCAAUCUCCAAAGUAUCCCAUAGCUGAAAAUGCGUGUGAAGAUAGUUCUUCCAAUGUUUGUACCGGGUUGCUAAGGUCUCGUCUAAGUAGGCCUUGACCUCGGGGGAUAUAUCAUCAAGAUCAAAAAUGACCUACGAAUAUGAAAAACAAUAAAAUAAUAAUAAGAAAUUUAAUAAUAUUAAGAUAAUAUAAUUUGGUUUUUAUUAUUUGUAAACAAAACUAAAAAAAUGAUAUUGAAUUCGAAUUUGUUUAUUUAGAUAAAAAGAAUGCAAGAAUCGUAAAUAUAAUUUAUGAACCCAAUGACAUUCAUGAACAAGCAACUCAAACAUGGCAUAAAGUACAAGAUUAUAAUAAACAAGAUUCAAUAAGAUUAGCUUAUGAAUUUGAAAAAGAAACAUAAGAGUUAAUUUCAAAUUUGAUGAAAUAGAUCAAAAUGAAUUAAAUAACUAGAUAAAAGAGUUAGAUGAUUGAAUUUCAUUACCAAAUUCGAAACAUACCUAAGUAAUCCAGUAAGUCAAAAUGAAUAUACAGAACAUCAAGAAGAACAAUAUUUUUAUGAAGAACCAAGUAGUUAAAGGAUAAAGAUUAAUAUACUAACAAACAACUUCAUUAUAAAGGCUAAAAAUUAAUAUACUAACCGACAACUUGUCUCGCACCAAAUCCUUCGUCCUAUCGGGAAUUUCUGCCCACUUCUCCCACUGCAUAGGACAAUUUUGUUUAAUAACAACACCACAGCUACUAACGACGAUGCUAUGCUGCUGUGCUGUAGCAGCUCCACGAUGUACCGGGUCAUACUCAAUCUUGAUCUUAGAGCCAGUCAAACGUACACUCUGUGCUGGCUUCAGCAUUCGACUAGGCCCCCUAGUUUUUUUUUUUAGCUAGGCCAAAAAUACUUAAAUGGUGAAAACCCUAAGCUUAAAUUUGCACAGAAAAUUCGACAUAACUUCCCCUAAUAGUAAAGCAUUUCCCAAAACCUUAAAACAUUAAAAUAACAGUAAUUCACAACCCACAACACAUUUUCACAAUCUAGCAAAUUUUCAGCAUCAUAAAAAUAAAUACUUUUAAAAUGAAAAAAAAAAAUACAACGUAGUGAUCGAGAAUUAGAAAAAAACUACCUGGCUGGGAGGCCUCACCCUCAACCCUGGAUGCUGAGGAAGUGUGAUCAUAAGGGUCCGGCUCGCGACGACGCCGGUGAGGCCGCCGUGCACUGAGCGGGUGAACGGACACUGAUGACGUCGAUGAGACAGGCACCUGGGACGCCGUAGGAGUAGCCUCAAUAAAGGGAGUAGGCUCCCCAUUCAAUGGAGCACUCACGCAUGGAGCAGUAGAUGCUGAUAAUGUGGGAGGCGCAUUGGUCACACUCCGACGACGAGUGAUCAAAUGCGACAUCUAUACACUUUUUAAACCAUAAAAUUAUAACAUUAGAAACUAAUCAAUUAGCAACCAAAGUAAUAAGUAGGUUACCAACAUUCUUAAUUUCAAAAAAAGUACGGACAAUGUAUAUUUAAAUUGAGCAAGUAACAAAUUAUAUGCAACAACCUUAUGAACAACCUUGUGUAUAUGUGUGUGGAUCAACAAUUAGAUACACAAAAUAAAUGUCACUGGUGUAUGGCUGAUAUUAUUCAUUUGCAAUUUGCCACUAUCUGGUGAUUCACUUAUUGUCAGCUACUGUCCAGAGAUAUCACUACCAUGCACCAACUUUUACUUGUCCUAGAGUUGAUACUUCAUUUUAUUUCAAGGAAUAAGGUGAUACAAAAAGAGGAUGAUGAAAAAGAAGAAACAAUAUCUUCCCCAAUAUGAAGAAUCAGAACGAAAAGCUAAAUCACAUAAGUUAUGACAUUAAACAACAGAAAAAGAUGAAAUUUAAGUCAUUUUUCGAUACAAGGGAUGAAGACUCAAAUUCAAGUCUUAUUUUCGGUAAUCUAGUUAUGUAGUUAAGAACUGUGAUAUCAAGCAAAGUAGGAAACCCAUUAAUCCAUUUAAAAAGAAAAACUUAAAUUACUAAUAUGGUUAAAACUAAUAAAACUAUUAUAAAAUUAAAACAGAAUAAGAAAUGGAAAUUCCAAAAUGCAGUGGCAAACAUUUUGCAAUCCAUCAUCCAACCAACUAAUCUUCCAAUAUUUGCAUAUAGAUACAUAUAUGUACACACACAUAUAUAUGCUUGGAAUAUGUAUUUAAUUAUUGCAGAGAAGCAAAACAGAGAAAUGAGAAAAUUAAAGGGAAAAGGAAAAGCAGAGAAGAGAAAGAGAACUGAGACUAGAAGAGUAAAUCACCCAUGAGUUCUAACUUCCUAUGUAUGGUAUAUUCCAAGGUCCUAACUUGUACAUCAAAGAGUAAAUUACAAGUCUUCUCUCCCCUCUUAACUUGUACAUCCAAGGUCCUAAAUAUAUCUAGUAAAGGCAUGUGCUUCACCUAAUAUCCUCUAUAAACAAACAGGGGAAAUUACACAAAGGCUUUGACUUUCGGUGAAGGUCAGAUUCAUUUCAAAAAUGCUCAAAUUAUGCUCUACAUACUCAAAUCAAUUUUGGUAAUAACUCAUAAAAACUGCCAAACAUAAAAAAAAAAACAAAAAACAAAAAACAAAAAACAAAAACAAAAACAAAAACAAAGACAGUUUAACAAAUGUUGAUGACUUUGAAGAAUGGGGCAGAGAGACUUGAGUCUAAUGAGCUCAGCAACUGCUUCCAUUUGUAGCGUCUUAGCACAUUACUUUACAUAAAGUGCAUGGAGGACUCUUAGAUAACAACAGCUUCAAGAAUUUAUAGUUUACAAGCAUUUGUCAAGGUUAAUCAAUAUUUUAUGUCCCAAUUUUUUGGAUUAUUGAAUACAUUUGAUUUGAUAUUAUGUUAUGUGAGUCCACCUUCGCAUCCUAAAUCGACAAAAUUGCAAAAGCUUCACCGAAAACACCUUCAUGUUCAUACACAAAAUACACAUACAAAUCAACAAAAUUGCAAAAACUUCACACAAUCAACUUGAAUCACAUCACAAAAAAAAUCAAUUUGACAAAACCCAACAUGCAAUUUGAACCUAAACCCUAAAUAACAAAAACCCAUAAAAAAUCAGAAACCCUCACCUUGAAUUUGGGACUUGAUUCGCGUCAGUUUCCAGAUUCGCGUCACUGCCCGUCGUUUAGAACGAGAGGGAGAGAGACAACUGACAGAGAGUAGUGGUGGUGAUGGUUGGAUUCGUGAUUGUGAAGAGGAAAGCUUGUGAAUGAGAGGGAGAGAGAUAUGUACGGGAAAAAGAGGAGAGAUGAGCAAGAGGGUUAUACAGGAAAGAGGGAAAGAAAGGUGAGGAAGAGGGUGGGAAAGAGGGAAAGAGAGGUGAGCAAGGGAACCAUACGGGAAAGAGGGAAAGAGAGGAUAGAUGAGCAAGAGGUUAUAUGGGAAAGAGGGAAAGGCCGAAAGAGUGCAAGAGGGAAGAGAGGUCUAUUAAUUAUACGGGAAAGAGUCGAAACUUAGGAAAAAUUGAAACAAAGCGCCUUUUUUUCACUGCAUUGGAGCGCGAAAUUUAUCAUAUCUUGCGCGACGUUGGUAUACAAUUUGAUGUCGCGCAAAGUGCUUUUGCGCGACGACCAUGUUAAGGCGUCGCGCAAAGUUUUUUUUUUUUUUCAAUUAUUAUAAAAAUUACUGAAAAUAUGACUUUACUGCUUUCAAAUUCAAUUUUUUUUUACAUAAACCCCAAAAUAAUAUAUUUUUAAUAAAAACCAACAAAAUUUUUAUUUUUACAUAUAUAUAUCAUUCAAUUUCUUAAGUGUUAUAAGUAUUAUAUAAAUAAAUUAAAAUCUAUUUAGUAAAUAAUAUAUAUCAUUGAACUUGAUCAAAAACGCGUUGUACGAAAUCCACUAGUAAAUAUAUAUCUAAUUAGUUAAUAUAUAUAUGUAAUUAUAUUAUAUAUAAUUAUUAUAGUUUUUUAGGGGUAUUAAAUCAUUGUAUUCAUAUAGGGUCAAGGAGUGUAGCUGCAAAAAAUCAUCAAAAUCGGAGUAAAAAUGACCGUUAAAUCAUGAUUUAUCUUUUUAUAAACCGUCGAAAAGUUUUGUCCGGUUACUUGAUCUUUGAAUGUUUGUUUUUUUGCAAUUUUUGGCGUAUGAGAUCUCGAAGUAUAUACAAACAUGUUUGACGGUUGGAUCAUUGAAACUAGUUUCGUAGAAUGAGUAUCCCAUCAAAACAAUAGAUUCACUAAUACUUAAGAAUUUAUUUAUACUUUCAUUAAGUAUAACAUAAGAUUUUUUUGGUAUCCAUUAGUGUAAAUAUUUUAAAUUGAAGAUCGAAUUCAAUCAUUGUAUUCAUAUAGGGUCAAGGAGUGUAGCUGCAAAAAAUCAUCAAAAUCGGAGUUAAAAUGACCGUUAAUCAUGAUUUUUCUUUUUAUAACCGUCGAAAAGUUUUGUCUGGUUACUUGAUCUCUGAAUGUUUGUUUUUUGCAAUUUUUGGCGUAUGCGAUCUCGAAGUAUAUACAAACAUGUUUGACGGUUGGAUCCUUGAAACUACUUUCGUAGAAUGAGUAUCCCAUCAAAACAAUAAAUUCACUAAUACUUAAGAGUUUAUUCAUACUUUCAUUAAGUAUAACAUAAGAUUUUUUUGGUAUCCACUAGUGUAAAUAUUUUAAAUUGAAGAUCGAAUUCAUUCAUUGUAUUCAUAUAGGAUUAAGGAGUGUAGCUAUAAAAAAUAAUCAAAAUCGGAGUUAAAAUAACCGUUAAAUCGUGAUUUUUCGUUUUUUAACCAUUGAAAAGUUUUGUUCGGUUACUUAAUCUCUGAAUGUUUGGUUUUUGCAAUUUUUUGCUGAUACGAUCUCGAAGUAUAUACAAACAAGUUUGACGGUUGGAUCGUUGAAAUUAGUUUCGUAUAAUUCGUAUCCCAUCAAGUUCAAUGGUGUGUAUAUAUAUAUAUAUAUUUAUUAAGUAGAUUUAAAUCUCUUUAUUUUGUACGUAUAAUUUACUGGUACACGAAGUAGUAUAUUACGUGUCAUUAUAAAAAUAGUGGGAUAUGUCAUAUAUGUGAUAAAAAGUUAAUAACUUAAAAAAAAAAAAAUUUCUCACAACUUUUAUUAAUUUUCAUUUUCCCUCUCUUUUUUUGUUUCAUUUUCUUUUUUCCGUGUCGUGUCGUGUCGUGUUAUUGGGUCGUGUCAGGAAUUGUCAGGCAUAUCUUCCAUAGUUCAUAUAUUCCCAUAAUAUACUAUAUAUGUAUCUCAUUUUUAUGCUUGGCCUAAUAAAUAAAAGAUACCGUUAUUUUAGAGGAACUUUGGCUUGGUAUUUGCUUAAACUACAAGAAAUAUUAAUUUGUAAACACAUAUUAAGUCCCAACCAAAACCAUUUUGCCACCAACUCUUCCACUAACGCCAGCUCCUGUGUGCACCUCAAAAUCCUUAGCCUCCAUCACAUGUUCAGUUGAUCCAAACGUCUUUAGCAGCCUCUUACAAUUCAAACAAAUCACAAUUCUUCUCAGGCAUUAUCUCGAACACUUUAGCUGCAUCCUCAACCGACCCGCAUUUCCCAUACAUUGCAAUCAACGCAUUGCCUACAAACACAUCCGAAAUCAGUCCCAUCUAUUGAUCAAAUCCACAAACACAUCAAUGGCAUCAACAAAAAGCUCGUUUCUUGCAUACCCACUAACAAGCGCAUUCCACUGGAACAAGUUCUUCCUCUUCAGCCCGUCGAAAACUGAGCGGGAAUCCAAAGGAGAACCGCACAUUGCACAUGGUAAUGAUGCGUGUGUUGAGAACAAAAUCACAGUUGAAAACGGUCAACGCAGAGACCAAGUUGUGGACUUUGCGUCCGGUUUCGACGUACUUCUGGCGCCCGCAGGCCUGUAAAGAGGCUCCCAUGGCGUCCUUCCCUUGCUAUGAGCUGGAAACUGCAUCGUGAGAGUGUAAUUGAAAAAGGUCAGAGCCUCCGAGAGGUUUUCAUCCUAACUACUCUACAAACACUAACAUUUUUAAUGCAACUAAGCAAAUGAAGCUUUUAAUGUACAAAUUUGAAAUAUAAGCACCAACCUCUGUGGCAAUAGAUACAGCACAGAACUCCUCAAUUGAGUAAUUGGAAACGAGCACUGCAUUAACUACCGUUUCCCAACUGUCAGAGUUCCUGUUAUAUCAAAGACAACCGUGUUCACCUGCAGGGAUCAAACACAUGUCAGUAAACGUCCAGACAUCAAUAAAGUGUGAAAUGCUAAAAAAUUUAUCAACCUUCAUGACUUAGGUACCUUCAUGCCCUUUUGUUCAACUUUUAAUUUUAGAAAGGAAAAAAAAAAACAAAAAGAACGAAACAAUUAUUAGCCUUGUUUAUUAAAAUUAAUAUAAUUCAGGAUCCAAUCAAUCAAGUUACUAAACUACAUGUAAAUCAACACAAAUGGCAUAUUUGAUAAACACUAAGAUUUACUGCAAUAGAUAACCGCUUGAGCGGCAGAGACUAUCGCUUGAGCGGCAGAACUCAGUCAUACUACAGCUUGAGCGGCAGAGACCACCGCUUGAGCGGCAGAACUACAGCUUGAGCGGCAGAGACCACCGCUUGAGCGGCAGAACCCAAUUAUACCAAAAUCAAUGCAUGGACUGAUAUACAUGAAUAAGCAUGCAAACCUGAACUUGAAGCCAUGAUCUGUUUUAGGAUGUAUCUUCCCUUCUCUUGUACGACUACAAUGGAUGUAUUAGGUUUCAAAUGGGGCAACCUUGCUUAACUGUGAAUCAUCCAUAUUUAUACCGAGAAGAGGGACCAAUCCCAUUCUAUAUCUGAUAACUGCCUUAUCCCAUUAAUAAUGCAGUUAUCUUCAGUUAUUAUUAAGCCAACUGUUCUUCAUUAAUUCAAACAUGGCUUAAUCACAUUUUUCCCUCCAGUAUGUUUUACUUCAUUCGAAUAUAAAACCUUAAGAAGUCUAACCAUAUAUACAGCUCAUUUACCAAGUUCAGCUGCAAUCGGCAGUUUGAUGAACUCACAUAUAUGAAUUCAAGAAUGAUGAAAUCACAUGAAUUCUUACAUUGUUAUCAGAAAAGGAGUUGGGGAGAACUCUCCCUCAAUGAGAGCUGUUAUCUACAAGAAACUGGGAUCUAAAACUUGGCGAGUAUGGCUUGACAUGGACAAGGCCACCAAUCGUCAGAACCAAAGAGUCAUAUGAGACAGAUUCCAACUAUGAAAUGAUUGUUGCAUGUUCAAUCCCAAUACACUUGCACCCUCAGACAUAUGGAUAGUAUCUAAUCAGUAAUUGUCUUUUCCUAAUACCAAAACAAACAGGUUUUCGACGUCAUCGGAAGGAAAAGUAAGUAGGAACAAGUAUAAUGAAGGUACACCAGCAAAAAAACAUGAAAAUAAAAUGCAUGAAAAGUUGAAAACCCAGAUUCUAAAUUGAAAAGCAAUUUGUUUUCAACCAUUACUGCCGUAGGGAUUGCUAGUCCCAUGGCAAAAGGGCAAGCAACCACUAAUACUGAGAUACCGAAUUGUAAUGCCAGCUCAAAUUUAUCCAUGCCUUUUGGUAUCUAGUUUUCCGGAAAAAAAGACCAAAUUCUCCAGGGAUGAACCAUCCAAGCCAUGUCAAAAAUGCAACAAUGACAACCUGAUGUAGGAAAGAAAAAAAAAUCAAUCAUGCAAUUGAAAAAUUGUCAUAAUAACGCAAUUAUCAAAUGCAACUAAGAGUAAAACAAAUAUAAAGAUAACAUAAAACAUACAACUUACAUGAUAUCUUUAUCUUUAUAGAAUGGAGACGAUGAGAUAAUUUGUUGGGAAUAUUAGUGUGGUAGAUGAGAAGCGGUGUUAAACCCUCAGCCUCCUGCUUUUUCCUUCACAAGUUUAUAUUAAUCCUCAUCCGAACUACAAUAAUAACUCUCACUAUCAUCACUACUACUACCAUUUCCGGAUUCCCAUUCGUCCUCAUCUUCGUUUGCCUUUUCCGCUGCAUUGUAUUGAGGUAGAUCACCAAGGUCAAUUGAUAUUUCGAAUUCGGGAACUCCAGGUACGUCAAACGGUUCUUGGACAAUAUUAGUAUCCCGAAGUGUUUCUUCACCAAUUUCUAUCGAAGAUGAUAACUGUUGGUCAGCGACAUUGUCGUCGUUCUCAUCAUGAUCUAGUUCCGGAAUAUCAUAUAGCCCUCUUCGAUCAAUCUUCUGAACAACUUUCCAACCAUUGCCGGCUUUAGGGUCGUCUAGAUAGAAUAUUUGUUUCGCCAUAGUUGCCAAAAUGUAUGGGUCUUCAUCGUACCAAUGUCUCGUAGUGUUUACUGAUAGUAAACCAUGAUCUUGCUUAACACUCGUUCGGUUAUGUGGGUUUGUAUCAAACCAAAGACACUUAAACAGUAUCACUUGACACCUGUCUUUGUAAAGCAAUUGUACUACACAAGUUAGUUUGCCAUAGAAAUCAAUGUCUUCACUGUCGCCAGCACCUGGGACAUGGACACCACUAUUUUGAGUAGACAACUUGUCAUCACGUGUUGCCCCUAAGAACUUGAUCCCAUUUACAUGACAACCCGAGAACAAUUCAACAUGAAGUGGUCCUCUCGCCAAGUUAUAUAUAAUUCUUCAUCGUAAGAGGGUGAAUUCAAUUCCUUCAAUUUGUUCAUCUAAUAUAACAUAUACAAAAAGUUAACUUGUUAAUGUAACCAAAUUUAAAGACAGGCAUGAACAAGUUGGAAAAUAUGCUUAAUUCAAACCACAUAAAACUUACAUGUGCGUGAAACCACGAAGGAAACAAAUCACGAUGCUUCUUCGCAUAUAAAUGUGAAGGAUGUUCCCGCUUCAUCAACCGUUCAUGCUCUUCAAGGUAUGGCAAAGCCUCGUGACAAUUGUUGAGUAUGAACCAAUGCGCUACCUCCAUGUCAUUUUUGGUAAACGAUUCGCCUUUUACAGGAUCGCCGAAUGGUCGCGAAAUUUGGGCAAAAACAGACAGUUUCUUCUUUUCUGACACCACCGUCAUUAUUGCGUUGAGGACGAUUGAAAGUUGUCUCAACAUCUUGAAGAUACAUUGCACAAAAAGUAAGUGACUCAUAUGCGACCCAUGCCUCCACCAGUGAUCCUUCGGGCUUUGCCUUGUUUCGGACACACUUUUUCAAUUCACCAAUAUAUCUGCACAAAUAAAAGGUAUGCUACAAAUUAUUCAAAGCGUUCGUUGAUCAUGAAUUUGUUAUAUAUAUAUACACACACACACACGCGCUUAAUUACCUUUCUAUUGGAUACAUCCAUCGACAGUUCACUGGUCCGGCAAGCAAUGCCUCAUCUGGCAAGUGAAUCAUCACGUGAAUCAUACUUGUAAAGAAAGCUGGGGGAAAUAUCUGUUCAAAUUUGCAUAAGACGUUCACAAUGUCUUCCUGCAAUUGUUUAACAUCUGACUUUCGCAAACACCUUGCAGUCAACUGCGAAAAAAAUCUCGACAACAACACGAUUGGUUUCACCACAUCAAGAGGCAAUAAGUGUCGAAUACCAACCGGAAGAAGGCGUUGGAGUAUCACAUGACAAUCAUGACUCUUUAUGUUUGAAAAUUUACACCCCUUCACAUUCACACAACGCGAGAUAUUGGAAGCAUACCCAUCUGGAAACUUUACAGAAGAAAUAAAGUUGAAAAACUCUUUCUUCCCAUUUGGCUUAACUGUAAAAAAAGGAUGGCCUUUCUUCAUUGUACCACCGACACUCUGCAUCCACAUGGAUGACCUAAUGCCCAUUCGUUCCAAAUCGAGGCGAGCUUCAAUCGUGUCCUUCGUUUUUCCUUCAAUGUCUAGAAUUGUCCCGACCAAAGUAUCAAACACAUUUUUCUCAAUAUGCAUAACAUCUAGGUUGUGUCUCAAUUUUAACUUUGACCAGUACGGGAGCUCAAAUAACAUACUCUUGUGCGUCCAGUUUAGAUGUGUAGUUGGUCUGGGCUGACUGACCCCUUUGCCGAAAUGACCAAAUUCCAAACUAUUUAACUGAUCCAAAAUCUCAUCUCCGGACCAUUCUCUUGGUCUUAGCCGAGUCUCUUUUGUGCCAUGGAAGGCUUUAUCGUUAUGACGCCACUCGUUGUCCCAAGGGAGCCAUCUACGAUGACCAAGAUAACAAACUUUUCUCGCAUGCCAAGACGAUGUUACGUUCUCCUUGCAUAUUGGACAUGCCAAAUAACCCUUAGUCAUCCACCCAGAAACCAUUGCAUAGGCGGGAAAAUCGUUUACUGUCCACAUCACUGCCGCUCGCAUGGUGAACAUCUGCCCAGUAUACUUAUCGUAUGUACGAACACCGUUUUCCCAUAAAUCUUUUAGCUCAUCAACCAACGGCCGCAAAUAAACAUUAAUGGACUUUCCUAGAUCUUCGCUCAUUAAUAAAGUCAACAUCAUGUAUUCUUUUUUCAUGCACUUCCAAGGCGGCAGAUUAUAAGGAAAAACGACGACUGGCCAAGUGCUGUGGUUUAGGUUUAAAACCCCAAACGGAUUAAAUCCAUCAGUGGCAAGUCCCAAUCUGACGUUUCGCGGGUCAGCUGCAAAAUCAGGGUACAUCCGAUCGAAUUCUUUCCAUGCCUCUCCAUCUGCAGGAUGCCUCAUAACAUCGUCAUUUACCCGUCCUUCUUUAUGCCAUCUCAUGUCGGUUGCCGUAUGCAUCGACAUGUACAAUCGUUGCAACCUAGGCUUCAAUGGAAGAUAACGCAUUACUUUUUGUGGAAUCUUGGUCUUUCUAUUUUGUGAUGUCAUUUUAAACCUUGGCUCAUUGCAGAUAGGGCAUGUAUCCAACUGUUUGUUCUCCUUAUAAAACAAUAUACAAUUAUUUACACAUGCGUGAAUUUUUUCAUACCCCAAUCCAAGACCCUUCAACACUUUUUGGGCACUUUUAUGAUCUUCAGGUAAACAAUUCUCCUUUGGAAGCAUCCUCUUGAUAACUCCCAAAAAGUAAUCAAAACACUUGUUUGACAAACGAAACUUGAUUUUUCCAUGCAUCAACUCUACAAUUGCUGAGAGCACCGAAAAGUUCUCGCAACCCGGAUAUAAUUCUUGCUUGGCAUUUUUCAAUAGUUUUUCAUAGUUUUUAAAUUCCUCACUGUCCAUGGUUGGAUGAACAUCAUCUCCCCCUUCCUGAUUGGUGUUGCUCGAGGCGUAUGGAUAAACGUCAUUUACAAUAUUCAUAACUUGUUCACUAGGAUCCACAUUAGAUUCAACAGUGUCCACUUGUGUCACGUAUGAAGACGAAGCUUGAUCUAAUCGUUCUCCAUGAUGAUACCAAGUAGUAUAGGUCUCCAUCAUCCCAUUUCUUACUAAAUGAAAUCGAACAUUUUCGAAUGUCUCCCACAUUGAGUUGUUACACCUUCUACAUGGACAUCGGAUAUGAGUUGAAUCUGGGUUGUGUCUAGUUGCAAAUUCAGUGAACUUAUCUAUUCCAUCCAAGUACUCAACAUCACAUCUAUUAUGAUUAUGUAUCCACCGUUUGUCCAUUUUGUCUGCAAUCCCAAUAAAAGUACAAGAGUUACAACAACUUCAACUAUUGUAUUGUCACCUUAUUCCUCCGGUAAGGGCCCUAUCCCAUUCAGGAAUGCACAGUUAUGUGUCGUAAUUUACGAUUCCAAUGGAUUAAAUUUCGACGUGGGCUAAUUUCGGCAGCAUCUCCUUACAGUUCUUCAAGUGCACGCCGUAGAUACAUAAUAUCCACCGUGUACUCGAAGAACAACAGGAAAUGUUACCAAAAUUUCCACUAUCGAAACCUAAUCCGUGAACCGCAAACUACAACACAUAACUAUGUAUUCCCAAACUGUCCAUAAAAUGGGACAAUUCAAGAAUUAAUUGGACCGCAGUCAUGCUUUCGCAUCCAUACACGAAAUCCAACGAAUUCUCAAACGGGAAACUAAGCUUUUCUUAAAAAAAAGUGUACAAAGUUAAGUAGUAUUAAUUUCGUACAACACAAAACAAUUUUGUGUACGUGAUGUACAAAAAUUUGUGCAUACAAAUAAAUUAAAUCACAAUAAUUACUAAAGCUAAAUAAAAUAGAUAAAAUUAAUAAAGAUCAAUUACAAAUUGAAUCCCAAAAAACUCCAACAUGACCAAAAUUAUCUUAUGGUGUCUGAACAGAUGGUCCCAUCAUAAAGAAAAAUUCCUACUGCUCUCAUCAUAAAGAAAAUUCCUACUGGUCCCGGGGUCCCUUUAAAUGAAAGAGAAGUAACAUAUAAUGCUGGUGGUAUUAAAAGUGGAGGAGCUGCUUGUAAAGUGCCUGAGGAAUUAUUUGUACUAGGUACCAUCUACUGCCUAAAGAGGAAUGUGGAUGCUCGUACCAGCAGCAGCGGAGCAUUUUAAGAGGAUUGUGCUUUCAAGCAACAUAAUAACUGACCGCAAGUGUGUGAGCCAUUACUAUGCAUUAACAGAUGUGCUCAAAGGUUUGCCGGCCUCCGAUGAUGAAGACGAAUUUUCUUAAAUAAUCAAAACAAACUGCUCUGAGUUUACCUCUGUAAAAACGUAGCUCGUAUAUAAGGUUGUUGUAACUUGAGUUUUGCAUUUAAUAAAAUUUAGCAAUUUUGAUUAACAAAUAUUCAUCCAAAGUCUUGCUACAGUAUUUUGUGUACAGAGUGAUGAUCUGCUACUUCUAUGUGCUAAUCAGUUUGGAAUGGUUGCCAAAAACUAGAUUGAACAAUAAGCAACCCCGUUGACACAAGAACGAACUUACAACUAGGACGCAACUGUGGAGUAAACUAACCCAAUUAAGUAUUGUCAUGUAUUUUAACUUUCUCUACGUGACAGUGCUUGGUGGGUUUGAUUUCUUCCAACAAUGGCGUCUCAAUUGUUUCUUACAUCUCCAUCGUAAGUCUGUGACAUUCUAAACUAAAAUCCGAUGUCAUGUGAAAACAUUAAAACACAUGUCAUCGCAUUUGAAGGACCUACACUCCUAUCCCAUUCUCUUCUUUUACUUGUUGUUUAAAACAUUUUUCUAGUUUUACAACUGCCAAGUUGAUUGCAAAUCCUAGUUGGCAUGAGUAACCCUUUUUUAUCCUUUUGAGUAGUGGGAUUUUUACAACUUCUUAUCUUCAUUGUCUAAUAUUUGUCUUUACUUCCUUCUAGUUUUGAUGUUUUGUGACUGUGAAUGGCAUAGUUUAAUCCCAAAUAAUGAACUCCAGUUUAGACGGUAAUCUUAAUUCUCGUAAGCUUUUUGGGUAAGUAAUGAUCGGGUUUCCCACCAUUUCCCUGCCAUGAAAGCUUAGGUUAUAUUAACAAUAGUCAUACAUAGUCUGCUACUGCUAGGCAAAUAGAGCUAUAUUUAGGAUCCCACCAUUUAUUUGUUCAGACACCAUAAGAUAAUUUGGUGAAGGGAAGAUCAUGUGCCAUCAUCAAUAGGAGAUCAAAAUUUUCAAUAUAUUAGGUAAUAAGGAGAUCAAAAUUUUCAAUAUAUUAGGUAAUAAGGAGAUCAAAAUUUUCAAUAUAUUAGGUAAUAUUAACAAAAAAUUCAAUACAAUCAUAUAUAAAAAAAUGGAUAAAUAACAUAGAGGUUUUUAAAUCACCUGAGUGUGAUCAGCAGCUAUGGAGGUCUGUAGGUGAGGAAGAGGGGAAGGCAGUUAGCUGUUUGACUAGUGUUAGAACACUGGAAAGAAAGACAAAAAGGUAUAUUUUCGUGUUGACUUUGCGCGACGCAGGUUCACUACGUCGCGCAAAACUGUUUUGCGCGACGCAAGAUGUACAUAAUGCGUCGCGCAAAACAGUUUUGCGCGACGUAGUGAACCUGCGUCGCGCAAAGUUCGAAAAAAGCGGUAAAACAAGCUUGGUUUGGCGCCAAACUCUUGCGCGACGCACAAGACGUCGCGCAAAACUGUUUUGCGCGACGUAGUUGUACCUUCGUCGCGCAAAACUGUUUUGCGCGACGCAUUACUACGUCGCGCAAAGUACCGUCGCGCAAAGACCAUUUGCGCGACGUCCUGUGUGUUGUCGUCGCGCAAACAUACUUUGCGUGACGAAAUGCUCUACGUCGCGCAAGGUUUCGUCGCGCAAACAUGUUUUUCUACUAGUGAGUGUCCCCAACGGGGUUUUAUAGUCUAAAAAUAUUCUAUGAUAGCUUCAUUACCAAUACAUGAAAAACAUCUAUCUCAAUGUAAACAACUAAAUUGUCACUCAACCAUCUUUCUCAAUGAACAAAUAGGUGGUGCUAUUGGCUUUGGCUUGAAAAAUCUCUCCAUAUUUUUUAUUUCUAAACUACACAUUUAACAAAAAAAAAAAAAAACACUAACCAUAUACCAAUUAACAAACAUAUCAAAUGAGUAUACAAACAUAUCAACAAUCAUAUCAAUAAUAGACUAAAAGUCUCAAUCAAUAUCUAAUAUAAUUUAAGUAAGAUUAGAUCAGAAUAUUAAACAAUUUACUUGACUUUUGAACCAAAUAGUGGUGGCCUGGAUAUUUGAAACAAGUGAAUGUAUGAUUUUGGAGUAAUAAAAUUAUAAUAUGGGAUUGGAUGGGAUUUAGAAUUUUAGGGUUUUGAAAUCUGGGGAGCUGGGGAAUUUGGGUGAAUAUGUUAAAGUUGGGCAUUGGGGGAAGCAUAUGAGCGGGGAAUGGUGGGACUGUGGGGACAGGUGUGGGUUGGGAUUUAAAACAAUAUGGACAAACGACAUACCUUGUUUUAGCCCAAUUGUUAAAAAGGGUCAUAUAUUUUUUCUUCUCUGCGAGCGAUUGUCUUCUCUGAAAAGAAGACGCCACUGCAACUUGCAACCUGCACAUCAUAGGCCUCGUGUUCGAGUACGAAAGGUCCUCGAAAAAUUUCUAGCAGUGAUUGGGUCGUCGAAGGGUCCUAGGACCUCCCAGGUCCCUCUGUAGAUCCGCUACUGUCUCUAAUUCACUAGCCAAAGCUUAGUAUUGUCUUUUCUCUUAGUUUUAUUAUAUAACAAAAUUGAAUAAGAAUAAAUCAUGAUGUCCAGAACGGCUAUCUCUAUUAUAAAAAAAUUAUCGUUUGUGAAAUUUGAACUCAUAAUACCACAUACGUAUUCUUCAAUUAUAGCACGAAAAAAAAAAAGAUCUCAGUCCUCGAAAUGAGGGAUUAGGGUUUUGGAAAGUCAAAGCAUCGUUUUGUCUUCUAGGGUUUGGGCUUGCACAGAAAACGAUUACACGGGGUAGAAAGCAAGUAUGAGUAGGGUUUUGGGUUUGACUUUUGCGUGCAUUGGCUGGCUUUAGGACUUCUAAUGUUUGACGGUGUCUCGGAAAAUAUGGGUGAACCAAACUUGGUUGGUAACAUGGAGGAACUAGGGUUUAAGUUAGGGUCCAUUCUAAAGCUGUCAGAGAAUGAGCGGAAGGGGAUUGGAAGGAAGGAUUUUGAAGAGGCUCUGAUUGGUUUUCAUUUUUGUGCCGUCGCUGAGGUUCUCACAAAAAAUGAGGUGCAUAGGGAUGCGUUUAUUGAUAGAUUUACCUCCCUAUGGAGAGAUAAGAGCGGGGUCUCAAUUAAGGAUCUGGACAGUCGUCGCUUUCUUGCCCGGUUUGUGACUGAACAAGACAUGGUUUGUGUGAUAGAUGCUAACCAACCAUGGACGUUCAACAAAGACCUAGUCAUGGUGGCGGAUAUGACUCAGAUAGGUAAUAAUCGAUGGGAGCCUCUCACUCUUGGUUCCUUUUUGGUGUAACUUCAUAACAUUCAUCCUCUAAGUGCGACCAGGGUGGUCGCACAAGCCAUUGGAGGAUUGUUGGGUACGAUCCUCCGAGUGGACAAAAAUGUGAGUAAGGAGUGCAUUGGCAGAUUUCUGAGGGUCAAAGUCCAUUUCAACGUUAAGGAACCACUAUUGCGAUGAACGUUCGUACAAUUUCCCUAUGAGGGGAUGAUCUAAGUGGACUUUAAAUAUGAGUGUCUUCCAAACUACUGCCUAAUUUAUGGUCUCCUGGGGCACCUAUCUAAGGUCUGCAAAGAUCACAUAGAAGGGGCUGGCGUAGGGGUAGGCAGCAGGAUGAAUGGGGAAGACAACUAUGCUUUUAAGGAUCUUGAUGCGGUGACCAACUUUCGAGGCAACCUACUUUGUCCUGUUAAUCAUAAAGCUUUGAGGUCGGGGGAAAGUAGAGGUAGGAGGAGCGUAAUAAUGCGACCAAAAAGUGGGGAGACUGGAAGUAUUAAAAUUGGGAGCGAGGGGAAGAUUUCAAGUAUGAGUGGCGCCCAUUGCCAUGAAUAUCAUCGAGGGGUUAGUUGAAGUGGUGAUGGGAAGGUGGAGGUUGAUGGGGAUGGUGAAAUGGUAGAUACAGCAAGCUUGCCAGUGAAAAAGAAAUUUGUUAACGAGACAGAAAAUACAAGGUUAACACUAACGGAAAAGAUUUGGGCAAGAAAGAAGCGAGAGGGAGAUGAGAGAAUGGCAAGGGAGAAAGCCUUCGAUGAGAGGUUGAUUGGGCUGGGAGGAACGGUGGCGCUGGGGGUUGAAAUGUGGUGCUACUUAGUUUGGAGGAAGUGGAGAACGGAAUUACAGAAGUGUUGGUGCCAGAGAAAUUUGGUGUGGUGAUUGACCUAAAUCUCAUGCCGAUGGAAGGUGAUCUAAUAAGUGGUGAUAAGAGGGCUAUUCAUGUUCCUAUGGAAAAGUUGAAUAGAGUGAGGGAGGAGCUACCUGAGGCUCGAGUUGGUUUCGAUGUUGGGAACCCAAAAUUCUGAUCCUUUUAAUUUGGGGCCAAUUAUUGAGGCCAUCUCUCGGGAGAGAAAGGCAAAGAAGCGGGUAUUAAUGGAGGUAGAAAGGUUCGAAGAUGUAAUGGCAACGGAGUCCAGAAGCAUUAGACGUCGAUCGUCCAAUGAUAUUACUAAGGCGGAGGAGACCAGCCUUGAGGGGUCUCCCAAGUCCCCAUGAAUCUAAUAACAUGGAACUGUCAGGGUAUCGGGGGUGACCUGAUAGUUGACAAUUUGCUGGAGCAAAAUAGGCACCACAACCCCUACAUAGUGAUCUUGCUAGAAACAAAGAAUAAAAGUUGGCACGAUGGGAGUUUAUGUAUGCGGUGGAACCUAGAGGGAUUGGUGGUGGUUUGUGGUUGUUUUGGAGAGAUGAUUCACAAGUGCUUUUGGUGAAAUACGCGGACUUUGUGAUUGACGUUAAAAUAUGAAAUGAUAGUAAAUUGGCGUUUAUUUGCUAUUUAUGCUAGUACUAAUGAGAAAAAACGGCGGGACCAAUGGAUGAUGCUGAGUAAACAGACAGAGAAUGAAAUUGAUAGGUACCUCCUGAUAGGGGAUUUUAAUGACAUACUGAGCAACGAACAAAAAUAAGGUGGUAAUUACAGAACAACGGCUAGUAUGAGGGACUUUAGAGAGUUUGUGGCACAUAACGAACUUAUAGACCUGGGCUACAAAGGUUAUCCGCUUACUUGGAGGAAUAAUAGAGAGUCUAAGCCAAUUGAACAAAGGCUUGAUCGUGGGUUGGCGAGCAUCGGGUGGCAUGAUCUUUAUCUGGGUACUAAAAUCCUGCAUGUGGUGUUAGAAGGAUCCGAUCACGCAAUGCUUGUUCUUUCCACGGAGAAGAUGAGGGCUUGGAGGGAGAGAAGAUUCACGUAUGAUUCAUGAUGGGGAAAGCUAGUUGAAUGUCGUGACUUGGUGGUUGGGGAAUGACGUGACAAUUAUGGUGGUUAACAUGGUUUUCGGUUUUGUGAAAAACCAAAAACUCUUAGGUGGAGUCUUAAGGUUUAGUAUAAAGGGAGAAGCAGGAACUAGAAAGCUAUUGACCAAUUGAAAUGAGAGAUUAGGAUGGCAUAUAAGUCAAAUGGAUUUGCCAUGAACGAGGUGCACCUAAAGGAGAUGGAGCUUAGGAAAGCGCACAAGGAAGAAGAGACUUUUUGGCGAGUGAAGUCGAGGGUGUUAGCAUAAACACAACACCAUGAUCAUGCAAGGCAAGUUACCGUGAUCAAAACACAGAACCAUAAACCAUAAAGCAAUGCACAGAGAGAAAACAUACCUGCAGAAGAGUUCGAAGCUAUUGCCACGUCUGAUUUCUGCAGCAAAGUCGUGGUGCAUCUUCUCCUCUCUUCAGUGAACGAGACUCUCAACUAAUAAUAAGUCUUACUCUUAUAUUGAGUACACACUGUGAGAGCAGAGGCCACCAUAUAUAUACUAUACAAUCUUAGCCAAAUUCUAUAAGGAUUCCCCUAUUAAAUCCAUACAGAAUACCAACUUAUCCCAAAUAGCAGUCCAGUUACAACAUGGAUUUACAAAUCCAUUCCCAACAAGACUUCCUAUUCAAUCUCUAAUCCUACAACCAAGUUUACCAAUUCAUACUCAUGAUCAUAUUCUAACAGAGGAUCCAAAGGUACAAUGAGGGAGACAAUAAUACAAAGCUUUUUUCAUGCGCAAACGAUGAAAUGGCGGAGGUUUAACCAGAUCUAGGGGUUGAAGGAUUUGCAUGGGGUGUGGUGUGAGAGUGAAACCAGAAUAUGUUCGAUUCAAAUUGAGGAGAUUAUGAGUUGUUUGGAUAAUCGGGUGACACACGAGGAUAAUAUGUUUCUGACGGCUCCCGUGACGGAUAGAGAAAUACAGGAGGCGGCAUUUCAAAUUCCUCUUAUGAUAGCUCCAGGACUAGAUGGGUUCUCCGGUAGCUUUUAUUAGAACCAUUGGGAGGUGGUGGGGAAGGAUAUGGUGAAUAUUGUCAAGGCUUUCUAGCAUUCCGAUACGCUUUUACAGAAACUAAAUCAUACAAAUUUGUACUCAUUCCAAAGGUUACAUGUCCGAAGAACAUCACGGGGUAUCGGCCUAUUGCUUUAUGCAACACAAGCUAUAAGGUCCUCGCUAAGUUUCUUACAAAUAGAUUAAAAAGGUUGAUGCCAAAGGUGAUAAGUGACAAUCAAUCGUCUUUUGUGGUUGGGAAGCAUAUUCAGGAUAAUAUCCUAGUUGUGCAUGAGAUCUUGCAUUCCCUUAUGCAUCAAACAAAGGAGGACCAGAUGGGUAUGGCAAUAAAAUUGGAUAUGACGAAGGCAUAUGAUCCUGUAGAAUGGGAGUUCCUAUUAGCUAUGAUGGCUAAAUUGGGUUUUGCGUUGAUGUUUUGUAGGUGGGUAAAGGAAUGCACUUCCACUGCUUCCUUUGGUAUUUUAGUGAAUGGAAACCUAACGGGGUAUAUUUUGCCGCAGAGGGGGCUGAGGCAAAGGGACCCAUUAUCUCUGUACUUAUUUCUUCUCUGUGCCAAAGGGUUCUCUUCUUGACUUCAGAAUGGUAUGGAGAGAUAAACUCUACAUGGAUUCAUGGUGACACCUAAUGGGGUGCCGAUAUAAAUUUUUUUUUUUUUUUUUGGCGGAUGACUCAAUGUUGUUUUGUAAUGCGACAGUUGAGGAAGCGCAAGGUGUGGUGGAUGUGUUGAAGGUUUAUGCAUCCGGGUCAGAUUAGGAAAUUAAUAUGUUAAAAAGCUCGAUUUUCUUUGGUUCCAAGGCUACGAAACGAAAUAAGAAAAAAAUUGAACGAACUUUGAAUAUUCAAAGAAAUGAAGGCUUUGGGAAGUAUUUAGGACUACAAGCAGAUUUUGAUCAUUAAAAAAAAAACAGUCUCUAAGGAGGUGCAUGAAAGGAUUGAGACAUGUGUGGUGGGGAUAGGCAGAGCAGCUCCUAUCUCAAGCGGGGAAGGAAAUCCUUAUAAAGGCAGUGGCCAUGGCUAUGCCAAAUCAUGCCAUGGGAUGUUUCAAGUUACCUAUUGGGGUAUGCAGAGACAUAGAGAAAGCUAAUAAGAAUUAUUGGUGGAGGGGAAACGAUUAUCGGAAGGGUGUUUACUGGGUUUCUUGGGAACGGUUAAUGAAGCAAAAGCGAUAUGGUGGUUUGGGUUUUAAAGAUAUUCAAUGCUUUAAUCUUGCCCUUCUGGCAAAGAUCAUGUGGUGACUGAUCCAUAACCCGGAGUUUCUCCUAGCUAGAGUGUUGAGAGACAAAUAUUUUCCUGGAAAGACAUUUAAGGAGGCGAGUGGUGGGAGGAUAACGUCUUGGGGUUGGAAGGGUAUCAUUGAAGCACGUAAGGUGCUAGAUUAUGGUAUUCGGUGGCGGGUUGGUAAUGGAACUUGUAUCAAUAUUAGAGAGGAUCCGUGGUUUCCUAAACCCACUACUUUCAAAGUACGGCAUUGGGAGGGCCUGCGAGCAACAAUGGUGAGUGAACUGAUUGAUUCGAACUCAAAGACUUGGAAUGCAGACGUGAUCUUGGCAGGCUUUAUUAGAAAUAUAUUUCUCAUUGAUUACAAUGAUUUACAUUGGAGGUAUUUAUACACAGCAGCUAAUAAAGUUUAGUUAUUAACUAAUGUAACUAAUUAAACUUUAUCUAUGAUUAGUUACAAAUCAAUUACAAUAAGAAAACUUAAAAGCUAAGUAAUUGUUGACUGUGUUCUAGCCUUGGACUCUAGCUGGCACUGUUGAGUUAUCUGAGGAUAAUGUGUGUCUUUACACCACCUCAAACGGAACGGAGGAGAGCCAAGUGAAAGCUUGGACCGAAGAAACUGAAAACGAGCUUUGGACAGAGACUUAGUGUGAAUAUCUGCAAUUUGAUUAUGGCUGGGAACAAAUUGAACUCGGACGAGAGAAGCUAAAACCAGUUCGCGAAUAUAAUGGUAGUCAAUCUCAACAUGUUUCGUUCGAGCAUGGAAAACUAGAUUUGAAGCAAGGGAAAUUGCAGAUAGAUUAUCACACCAAAGAGUUGGAAUCUGGGAUAAGGGAAAGCCAAUGUCCCUGAAAAUUUUGCAGAUCCAAGUGAUCUCGGCAGAGGUGUGAGCCAAAGAACGAUAUUCAGCUUCAGUGGAGGAACGUGCAACAGUAUGCUGUUUCUUUGCACUGCAACUGAUGAGAUUGGUGCCAAAAUAAACACAAUAACCACUUGUAGAUCGGCGAUCAAAAACACAUCCUGCCCAGUUAGCAUCCGAGAAGGCAGUGAGAGUGAUGGUACUCUUUUUAAACCAAAUUCCAUCAUCAACAGUGCCUUUAAGAAAGUGUAAGACACGCUUAACAGAUUGAUAAUGUGUGUCUCGAGGACAAUGGAGAAACUGACAUAGUUGAUUGACAGCAAAAGAAAGAUCAGGUCGAGUCCAAGUCAAAUAUUGCAAUGCCCCAACUAUGGAGUGAUAUUCCUGUGGAUUAGAGAGAAGUGUACCAGUGUGAUCUAACUUCUGAGUAGCGAGAGGGGUAGAGCAGGGUUUACUUCCAUCCAUAUGAGUCUUGAGAAGAAGAUCCAUGGCAUAUUUGUGUUGAGAGAGAAAAAUGCCUUUUGAGGUUCUGUGAAUCUCCAAACCCAAGAAGUAAUGCAAAGGGCCUAAAUCUUUGACUGGAAAGAGUUGACUAAGCUUCUGAAUAAAGACUGUGCAAACUUGAGCAUUCGGUCCAGUAACGAGUAUAUCAUCAACAUAUACUAGGACAAUGACAAGAGUUGGCUUAAACGCAACAAACAAAGAACAAUCCGAUUGAGAGUUAUGAAAUCCCAGAGAGAGCAAGGCUUGAAACAGUUUAUCAUACCAUGCCCUUGGGGCUUGCUUGAGGCCAUACAAGGACUUGAUAAGUUUGCAAACAUGGGAUGGCUUCGAUGGAUCAAUAAAACCAGGAGGUUGUUGCAUAAAGACCUCCUCUUUAAGUGUGCCAUGUAAGAAUGCGUUGCUAACGUCCAAUUGGUUCAAAAACCAAUCAAAUUGUACUGCUAAUGUCAAGAGAAUUCUGAUUGUUACAGGUUUGGCAACGGGACUAAAAGUCUCUUGAAAAUCAAUACCUUCUUGUUGAUGGAAGCCUUUGGCGACUAAGUGGGCUUUGUAUCUGUCCACACUGCCAUCGGGUUUCCGUUUGAUGCGAAAAACCCAUUUACACCCAACAAGAUUUUGAUUUGGUGUAGAAGGAACAAGAGACCAGGUUCCUGUAGAUUGCAGGGCUUGAAACUCCUCAACCAUUGCUUUCAUCCAGUGAUCAUACUUAGAAGCUUGUAAGAAGGUUGUAGGAACAAAGUUCAAUGUAUCAAUAGGGUGUUUAGUAGCAGCCAAAGCUUUAGGUUUAAAGAUUCCAGCCUUGGACCUAGUAGUCAUGGAAUGAGUAUUUAUGGAAGGGAGAGGUGGAGGGGGGAUUGGAGAGGGAGGUGGGACGGAAGGAUUGGGCAGUGGUGAAGUAAAGGGUAGGGUAGAAUCUGGCACUGUGGGAAUGGAAGAGGAUAAAGGAGAAGUGCAAGGGAUGGGAAAUGAAAGUGUGAAUGGUUGAUACUGAGGGUGCGGACUAGGUUGCAACUGUGAACUUGACUCGGUGAGCUCAUGAGGUUUAUGAAAAGGGAAAUUAGAUUCAUUGAAAAGCACAUGGCGAGAAAUGUAGAGUCUGGAUGUAAGAGGAUCUAAGCAACGAUAGCCCUUGUGUUGCAAACUAUAACCAAGAAAAACACAGUGAAUGCUUUUCCCAUUAAACUUGGAAGCAGCAUAUGGUUUAAGCCAGGGAUAGCAGCUACACCCAAAAACCUUGAGCUUUGAAUAAUCUGGAGGCUUGUGAAAAAGUAAUUCCCAGGGAGAUUUGUCAAGACCAGAGAUUGGAAGCCUGUUGAUCAGAUACAAGGCAGUAGAGAAUGCCUCAAACCAAAAUGAAUGUGGAACCUUUGAUGCAGUGAUAAGAGUCCGAGCAGUUUCUGUGAGGUGCCGAUGUUUCCAUUCAACACAACCGUUUUGUUCCGGUGUGUGAGGACAAGAAUAUUGAUGCAAAAUACCAUGCUGCAGAAGAAAGGAAUUAAAAUUUGAACUUGUGAAUUCACCCCCUGAAUCAGAGCGGAGAACUUUGAUUUUAUUGCCAACCAAGUUUUCUACAUAACACUUGAAAGUCACAAAAACGGAAUACACCUUAGAUUUGAGCUUCAAUGGGAACAUCCAACUAUAUUUUGUGAAUUCAUCAACAAAUAACACGUAGUACUUAUAACCACUAAGAGACAAUGUAGGGGCAGGUCCCCAAACAUCACAAUGAACAAGUUCUAAGGGCACAGAUACAGAGCUAAUACUUGCAGUGAAGGGCAAUUUGUGAUUUUUGCCAAUGGCACAAUCUGAACAGAAGAAAGAAGUAAACUUUUUAUCAUUGGAAACUAUAGUGCUACUAUUUAAAGUCUUCCGAAAAAUAGCAGAAGAUGGAUGACCGAGCCGAUUAUGCCAAACUUGUAAAGGAGCUUUGCUAUUGACAAGAGCCGAGGGAGAAGUGGAUGCUGGAGGAAUGCCUUAAAAAGGAUAAAAACCAUCUUUAACUGGUCCUCGGAAAAGCAUCCUCCCCGAAAUACGAUCCUUGAUUGUAGAACCAUCAGAAUCAAGGGUUAAUUUGUAGUGAUUGUCUCGUAAGAAUUGAUACGCAGAAAGAAGGUUAUGCUUCAUUGCAGGAACAUGUAAAACAUUAUUCAGACGAAAAGUGGCAGUAGGCGUAUUAAGAAAGGUUGUACCAGUAUGGUGGAUGGGCAUACCUUGACCAUCACCAAUAUAAACCUUGUCCUGACCAUUGUAAGGAGUGGGAGAAUGAAUGGCAGAGAUGUCAUUGGUUAUGUGAGACGUGGCACCGGAGUCCAUAAGCCAAGUAGGAGAAGAGGAUUUGAGGGUGGUGUGAGCACACAUAGCUGCCAAUUUUACAGGAGGAAUUUUUCCAGCAAAGGCAUGAUUCAUCCGUUCAAAACAAUCCAAUGCUUCAUGAUCUGGAGAAUGACAGAUUUGGCAAGGAUCUCGGUGACUAGUAGUGGUUCCAGAAUGACGAGUGUAACUGCCAAAGUUGCGAUUGAAAUUGCCUCUAGAAUUUCCUCGAUAGUUAUUACCUCGAUAGUUAUUGUUUCCUCGAUAGUUAUUACCCCUGUAAGUACCUUUGCCACGAUUGAAUGGCCUAGGAGUAGAGAUGUACAAGUUAUGUCCAGGAGGACCCUGAGGUGUGGGAAGAAGAGGCGCUUGAGAGUGUUGAUACUGAGCCGCAAAAGCUUGAAAGGGUUCAGAUACGGACGAAGCUACAGUCUUCUUCUUACGAUUCAUGAACAAUUCUUUAUUGAUCAACAGGCCAUGUAGUUCGUCCAAUGAAGUAGAGGAAAUCCGUAGCAUAAUGGAGUCAACAAAAGACUCAUAAUCCUCAGAGAGACCAUUAAGAGUUACUGCAAUCAAAUCACUUUCAGAAAUCGGAGCACCGACAGCCAUGAGUGCAUCAGAAAUGGUUUUGAUUUGCUAAAUGUAGUCAGAAAUUGUGAGAUCGCCUUUCUGAACAGUGUGCAGGCGAGAUCGAAGCUGGUGAAUAUGAGCAGCAGAGACGCCACCAAAGCGUUGCUCAAGAUUCAACCAUAAACACCAACAGUAAACGGAAUGAGAUCUUCCGAAAGGGUGGAGUUGAGCCAGAUAAGGAUAUUCUGAUCCUUUUCAUACCACAAAUCAAAAGCCGGAUUGGGAGUGCUAGUGGUGUUGCCAGAUGCAUCAAGUAAAAAUGGCGAAGGACAAACCUCCGAGCCAUCAAGAAUCCCUGUAAGCUUGUAACGACGAAAAAUUGGAGCAAACAAUGCCUUCCAAACAAGAUAAUUGUCACGCUUCAGCUUGGUAGGAACCAUACAACUGAUGUGCUGAAUUGAAAUCAAAGAAAUUGAGGGAGAAGACGGAACCGUUGUGAAAUUAUAGGGUUCAUCGGGGAUGAAUUUGGGGCAAGAACAUCAUGAUUCAUCGGAGAGGAACUCGACGAUGUCAUCGUAAGCAAGAAAGAUAGUAGAUGAGAAGAGAAGAUCGAUCAAGAACCACAAGAAAUUGAAGAUGGAAGAUCAAAGAUCGAAGAAAUCUCGAAGAAAUCAGAGAUCGCAGAGAGCGACGGAGAAGAGGAUCGAAGAAAGGCGAUUAAGCAGAAGAAGGGAUGAUACCAUAUUAGAAAUAUAUUUCUCAUUGAUUAAAAUGGUUGACAUUGGAGGUAUUUAUACACAGCAACUAACAGCAGAUAAUAAAGUUUAGUUAUUAACUAAUGUAACUAAUUAAACUUUAUCUAUGAUUAGUUACAAAUCAGUUACAAUAAGAAAACUUAAAAGCUAAGUAAUUGCUGACUGUGUUCCAGCCUUGGACUCUAGUUGGCACUGUUGAGUUGUCUGAGGAUAAUGUGUGUCUUUAGGCUUUAAUCAGGACGAUGUGGCACCGAUUUUAAGCAUUCCGUUUAAGCAGGAAAUGUUGUAGUGACAGGUUGGUGUGGCACCACACUACGAAUGGGGUGUACACGGUUAAAUCCGGCUAUGGGGUGGCGUUGGGUCUUAUGGAAAAUGGAGCACUGUGAAGGAAAGGGCAGGGAACGGCGAGAAAACAAAUCACAAUCAGGUGUGGAAUAGGAUAUGGAGUUUGGAGGUCCCUAAUAAAAUGAAAUUUUUUGUAUGGAGUUGUUGCAAAAAUGCUUUGGCGGUUAGACAAAAUCUGCAGAGACGACAUAUGAAGACUGAUAAUGUAUGCGGGGUGUGUAGCCUAUGUGAUGAAACGGAAAACCAUUUGUUUUUCCGCUGCGAACUCAGCCACCUAUUUUGGUUAUGUUCGCCGCUUCAACUUAAUUCCUUUGAUUUGGAAUGCGCUGACUUUUUAGAAAGCUAGGAGAAAUUCUGUAACCGUGUUAAGGGAAUGGAAAAUGCAGCUGAGAUCAUGCAAGAAUUUGUCUUCGGGUUAUGGAGACUAUGGAAAAACAGAAAUGAGGUGGUUUUAAAUGGAGUGCACUGAUGGCCUUUAGAGGUUUUGGAGGUAUGGAAGAGGAACAUCUCUGAAUUCAGAGAUGCCAAGGCACAUGGGGUAGCGGGAGUGAGUCCAAAUACGGGGACGACGACCUUGGCAUUGAAACGACAGAACGAACAAUGGCAGAAAUUGGGGUUUGGGACAAUUAAGAUUAAUACCGAUGCGGCUUGGUGCAAGGAUACGUUGCGUGCGAGAGUGGGCUGGGUUGUUCGUGAUUUUGCAGGUUUGCUGCAAGCAGCGGGAGGCUUGGGAGUUAUGCAUUGUCAUAAUGCAGCAGAGGCUGAAGCUACAACAAUCUGUGAAGCUUUGGAGUUUUGCAUUGAGCUGGAGUUGACAACUUGAUUAUUGAAUCCGAUGAAAAGGUGAUUAUUCAAAUGACUGACUCAUGAUUAUAGCCUUGAAUGGAUCCUUGGUGACAUUGAGACUCUAGCGCAAAGUUUGAGGUCGGUAACGUUUGACUUUGUGUCUAGAGAGAGUAACCGUGCUGCUCACUCGGUGGCUAAGUUUGUGUUUAAAGAGGGUCGUUCCUUUGUAUGAGAUUGUAUUGGUCCUGAGUUCCUGUUUAAUAUUUAGUGUAAGAUAUUAACCUUUCUAUUCGAUUAUAAUAAAUUCUAUAUUUUGGAAAAAAAAAAUUAGGGAAGAUUGUUUAGAGAAUUGGCUAGAGUUGUUGCUUUUUUAUUUAUGAGUCGAGCGACAGCGUUAGUAAAUUAAAUGUUAGAUUAGCUACCAACGAGGUUUGAAUUUAUGCCAUCAUGUAAGGGCACAACACUGUCCACUACUGUGGUAAAGGGCUAGAAUUUUAAUAAUAGAUAAUUGGGUGAAUGAUUUUCUGAUUACUCUAUGUCAACAAUAACAUAUACACAACACACACACACACACACACACAUACAAAUUCAACAUCCAAUUACGCCUAUUUCUAAGGCUAGGAAUCCGUGAUCCACCUUUGAUCUAGACUAAAACAGGAAAUUAAGGUAAAUCUUGCAAAUAUAUUACAAAGAUAAUUCUCAACACAAAACGAUAAUGAGCAAAGAAAGUGUAAUAAAUAUUGUUGUAGGAAAAUUAAGAGAAGGUGCUGUAUUUAGUAACACAUACACGAAAAUUUUGGUAGAAUAAUUCGACCCCAAAAGAAACUUUGAAAUAGGAGUUGAGGAGUAGUGCUACAAAUAGCACAAGAAAGUUUGAAUGUUUGUAGUAUUUGGGUAUGCAAACCUUUACACGACCUUAUCUAUACUCAAAAAGUUGAAUUAUGUAUUAUGCAUUAUAUGGAGAGUAACUUAGUGUCUUGAAGAAUAUAAAUUAUGGUUUAAAAAGUCCUCGUCGUAAAUUUUGAAAAUUUGUUGGAUAUGAUCACAUGUAGUUACAAUUCAAGUGUUGUCUUCUUUUUUUAUUUUUAUUUUUUUGUCAAAACUUGAGGUAUCUCACAUCCCAAAAGGUAGACUAAUUUUUAGUGGAGCUUGGAAAGCCUAAAGACAGUCCAGCCUAUCCCCAGCCACAAUUAAAUACCACAUUUCCUCCCAAGGUUUUUAAUAAGAUAAUCACUUGUAUUUUUGCCAACUUUAUGCCUCGAAUCAGAUACUACAGAUCAUACUGAACUUGAAAUUUUAACGUGUUUCUACUGCACCACUUGCAGUGGUUAUUAUUUAUACUAUCAAGAGGACAGACUUUGUCAUAAUUUUUGUGAAAAUACCAUUUAUGUCCCCACAUCUCUUUAUCCUUUGUUGCGAUAAAUAACCUUUAUAUAAUAAGAUUAAAAUAGGAAUUUUGUGGAUUUAAAUUAUUAAAUUAAAUUAGAGUUCUUCCACGUUUUUCUCCAUCUUUUUUCAAUAUGUUUCUCCCACGUGCAUAGAACGAUUGAAUGUUUGUAAUAUGCGAACCUUUUACACGACGUGACUUAUACUCGGACAAAAAAAAUUGAAUUUUAUCGUUGGCCGCUAAAGUCCCAUUCAUGGAAGAAAAUAUCCAAAAUAUCGUCGAUAUUUUCGUUUUUUUGAGUUACCGAUAUUUUAAUGAGUAUCUAAUGAAUUUUCUUCAAAAUAUCGCAAUAUUAUCGAUAAUAUCGCGAUAUUAGCUUCUAAUAUCGCGAUAUUAGUCAAAAAAUUCCUGAAAAUUUUGAAAAGUCACAAUUUUGAGCACAGAGGGGUUCGAAACCCUCCCACUUAACUCCUUAACACCUUAACCACUAUACCACUUAUGUUGUUGUGAUAAUAUGCUACAAUAUUUAUAUAUAUCUUUUUUUUUGAAUUCUUUUUACAAGAAACAAAUUUGCACAUUUUCCAAAUUUUUUGUGGUAUUAUAUUUUAAAUUGUGUCAAUUAAUUACUUAGUCAAUGACAUGUGGUUUUUAAUUUUUCUAUUUUUUUAUUUGGUCACUUACAUGGUAGGGCUGGAAAAAAUUCCGGAAAAUCCCAAACCAAACCGAAAAAGUCUCAAACCCAAACCAAAAAAUCCCAAACCAAAACCAUCCUGAAGUUCGGGAAUCCCAUCUCGAAAAAUACCGAAAUUUUCGAUAUGGGAUUGGUUUCCAAAUCCCAUUUGUUUGGUAAUCCCGAAAAAUACCGAAGUAUUCGGUUUCCUAUUGACUUUUGGGUUUUGGUUCUUGAAAACCAUUGUCAUGGUUGCUAACUACUCUUCAAAAUACACUCACUCUACACAUAGAGAUGAUGAAGAUAGUGACAAUUUUGAACCUCAUAGAAACUCUAUGUGGUACUAAGUCACUCAUGUAUCUUACCAUACAAUGUAUAAAGUGUAAAAUAUUGUACUAAUUCAUUAUAUAUAAAUGAUUAUGGUGUGUUUAGACUUCUUUAAUUAAUUUCUACAUAUUUUCUACACUCACAAUGUUUGUCAGCUCGCUAUAUAAUCAACUUGAUAAUGUUAAAUCCAUCAUGCAAUGCAUUUCCUUCCAAUUUUUUGUGAUAAACUAAUAGAUAAUUGACUAAAUAAACAUCCUGCAAAGUUUCAAUAAAAAUUUCCAAGUUUUUCUUACAAUUUCCGUGGUUUCCAUGUAAUUUUUAUCGAUAUCGAUAUUAUCCCGAUAUUUCCAUCGAUAUUUCCGUGUUUUCGGACUACCGAUAUUUCCGAUAUUACCGAUAUUUUCUUCCUUGGUCCCAUUUGACCUUGACAUAAUUUAUCAUGCAUUAUUUGGAGAGAGAAUAAAGUGUCUUAACGAAUAUAAAUUAUGAUUAAUAAAUCCUCGUUGUAAAAUUUCAAAAAUCAUAAGGUGUUACUAAUAUAAGUGUUGUAUAUACUAUUAUUGUUUUUUUUUUUUGUCAAAUCUGGAGGUAUCUCACAUCUCAAAGAAUAAGAUUAAUUCUCAAUGAGGCCGGUCAAGGCUAAGGCAUUACACCCCACUUUUGGCUAUGGUCAAAUAGCAAACAUCUUCUUAAAACUUUCAACUAAAAAAUCAUAUGUAUUUUGCCAACUUCGUACCUCGAACUCAAAGGCCACAAAGCAUACAUGGUUUGGAAUUUACUGCAUUUCUACUAGACCAUUUACCGCGAUUGUUGUCUAUAAUAUUAUUUAGAGAACACUCUCUCUGACUUUUCUUCAAAUACCAUUUAUGUCCCCACAGGUCCCCUUUUUUAUCCUUAGUUGCAAUAAAUAACCUUAAUAUAAUAAGAUUAAAAUAGACUUUUAUUUAAAAUUCUUCCACAUUUUUCUCCAGCUUCUCUUUCGAUAUGUUUCUCCUACAUGCAUAGCAUGUGUGAGAUUGCUAUUAUAACAAAAGAGUUGUUUAAUAAUACAUAUCAGGUGGUGAUAUUACAACUUAAACUUAAAGAGUUUCUCAAUAAUUUCGGGUAAUAUAUUGUGACAACUUUUUUUUAAAUGAAAAUGAUAAUACUACUCUAAGUUUACGUACACUUGGAAAAGGGAAAGAGUUUAAUCCGAAACACAAUAAAUUGAAGAGAAAGACUCUAUUCACCAAAGAAAAUCCAUCACUUGCAUUGUGACAUCUUUCUGAAAUGCAACUUUUCUUUAGGGGUGUGAUAUCCAUACACUCCAUUUUACUUCUCACACACCUUUUUAAUUUUCGGCCGUCAGAUCGGAUGAAUUGAAGAAGAUCAACAGACAUAAAUUAUCAAGGGAUGUGUGAGAAGUAAAAUGAGGUAUGUGGAUAGCACACCCCUUUCUUUAUUUCAUUACAUAUCAUAUCUUUUGCAUGUAAAUUUUCUUGAUGAUUUCCAAAUUUUAAAACGAUGCAAAACAACAUUAAUUAGUUUAAACUCAAACUAGCUCAAUGGGGAGGAGUAUAUGAAUUGAAUUCAAUUAGUGCACGCCAAGUGUUUGAUAUAUAUUUUGAUGCUCCAGAGUCCACAGGCAUAUCGUUCAUGAUAUUGCAUGCCAUUGUAAAAAGAAAACGUUCAUUAUUGCAUGACUCACGUCAAUGCAUAUUAAUUUAGAUAUCAUGUAUAAUUAAAAAGGUUUUACUUUACCGAUUGAGUCAUUUUUUUUGAUGUGACAGUUAUAUUGUCAUGUGAUGUUUGUAGAUGCAAAUUCUUUUGCUCUUUGUUCUUGGACAAAAUUGCACUUACAAAACAAAUAACACCUUAGGUCAAGGCCAAGAGCCUCACGCGCCCACAAUGAAUGGGGGAGCUUUGGCCAAAGAACCUUUAAUGCCAAAGUUAGAAUUUAGAGAGAAAAGUGUUUGGAGAGUUUUUGGAAGUUUUGCAAGAGUGUCGAACCUAGGUUUUUAGAGAAAAUGGGGUGAUAUAUAUAGGGCAUGGCCGGUUCCUGUUGGAGAAAAGGUGGCCGGCCCUUUGGGGUAUUUUUGUGUGAGAUGGGUGAUUUAAUUGGCAAUUAAUGAAUUAAUUAGGUAAUAAAUCCAUUAAUUAGCCAAUUAACUCAAUUUAUAUGGAAUUUGAAGAUUAUGGAACAAAUACCUUAUGGAGAAUAUAGGAUGAGGAUGGAUGAAAUAAUUUUGAAUUUGUUACAUAUUUUGGGCACUUUUGGCUUAAUUGAAGAAUGGUUGUCCACUGCCCGAUCGUAGGAAAUCCGGUGUGCCUCAAGGGUAAUUUUGUCUUUUUCAUAAAAAAUUCACGUGUCACCUUAUGAUUAUUUUUGGCUCCACAAUAUUAUUUAUCCAUCAAAUUAUAACGUGCGAAGUACUAACACCAAGUGACAGUGGAGCCGUCUCACUCCAAGGUUGGCAUCAAAGGUGCCUUUUAAACCAGAUGUAGAGUCCUCACUAUGCACACACACAUAUAUAUGGUAUAAUAGGUAUCUCUGCAAACAUUGUCAGAGGUUUUUGUGGAGCAGGUAAUAAAUUUUCGCAAUUCUGCAGUUUAAUUUCUUGUCAAUAAAAUGGCAGUUGCUCUUAAACUCACUGUUAAAUUAAGGAAGGUGCUAUCUACACAUCAUUUUUUUAUCUCUCACACAUUUUUCUUAAUUUUGGCCGUAAGAUUGAAUGAAUUAAAAAAAUUAAUAGACAAAAUUACCAAUGAUGUGCUAGAGGUAAAAAGAGGUGUGUAAAUAGCACUACCUUAAAUUAGAAGGAAAACUAAUGAAAAGAGCUUGAAAACUUUGAGUUUUAACGAUAAGGACAAAAUAAAGGGUAAAGUAAAUAGUACUAGGUUUGACUUUUUAAUGUAAAAAUAUGAUUUUUCUUUAAAGUGAACAGUACUGUGAGCUUUUUGUUAAAACUCCCUAAAUUAAAAGGUAAAUAAACUCAUGCUAGAGCUAAAGAUGCAUACAUGCCCAAAAAGAAAUAUUAAAUAAAGAAUUUAUUCUAUACUUCGUCAUAUUCAGUCAACUUCUUCAUAUACAUUGUAAAGCUAAUACACUUUAUUUUUACAUGUAAGGAAAAAAAAAACCUAGACUGCAGGCAUUUUCCUGUGCUUAUUCACUGCUAGGAAAAUAUAUAAAAUGUUUAAUUUGAUUUAAAAUUAAUUCUGCUAAUGCUUUUCGUUGAUGGUUGCACUUCGAUGUAGAAUCUUUGGAAUUGGUACUACUUCAAGGUGUGGUCGGAUUUGGACCUCCGGAAGGGGUAGUGCCCCUAAGUAUUUGCCUGAUCAAAGGGAAGAAGGGACGAUCCAUCUGAUGCAUAAACUUUUCUUCCCCAUGCAACACUCUGCAGGCCUCGGAAGAUUGCAUGUUCAUAAGAAAAACCAUUAAAAACACUGCCACCAAAAAUAUUUUUAGAAACUUCAUUUUGUUGGGCAAACAAAGACUAUUUUGCAUCUAAUUUUCUGCGGAAGAAGAAAUGAAGGAAUGAAUGAAGAUAAAGUUAAAGGUUUGUUGCGAAAACAAAGAUUUUGCUUCUUUUAUCUGUCUGUGAAAAACAGAAAGGAUUGAAGGAAUUAAGGAAUGAAUGAAUAGAUGGGGAACAUGGGGCUUUUUAUAUGCAUCAAUUAAGACCAACUUUCAUAUGACUUUGAUUUUUUAAUAUAAAUCUAUUUGUUUCGUUGUUUUGACUAUUAAAUGAUAUAUGCUAAGGACUUAGCAGAAUUGAAUGGGUAGUCAUAUCCGCAAGGGUUUUGGUUUUAGGGUUUCACUGUAUUGUGGACCUGUAAAAAAAUCAAAGCUAAUUAAUUAGGCUUAGAUGUCAAAAUGGUCCUUGUCUUAUAACUAUAUGGCCAAUUUAGUCCACAUGUUUUCGAUUUGGCUAAUUUAGUCCUUAUGUUUGUCUCCUUUAGUCAAUUAAGGACAUUUCAUUCAGUCUUGUUAAAAAAAUCAUAAGAAAAAUUAUAAGAUAUAUGAUUACCCUUUCUUUUUACAGAAAAAUGCAAAUCAAUGAGAAAUAACACAUAUAAGAGAUAAAACUUACAGUCUGAAAAAUGAUUAAGGUUGUGACGUCAUAGAAAAUAGAGCAGGUAACGUUAGGAAGGAGACUUCGGGGGAGUUGGGAGGACAUUAAUUUUUAUUUCAUUUUUAAAUAUUUUAAAUCAAAUAAAUAAUUUUAUAAUAAUUAUAAUUUUUUGUAAUAAUUUAAUAAUUAAGUUAUAAUAGUUUAUACAGAAAUUAGAUGGAAAUAUCCUUAAUUGGCUAAAGGAGAUCACUACUAGAAAAUUUGACUUUACCGACAAAAGUAGUUUGUUGGCAAAAGUCAAAAUUUGUAGGCAAAGUGUCUUUCCCGAGGAAAAAAUUUGUCGGCAAUUUUGUCACGAACAGCAUGUCGCCUAAGAGUUUUGCCGACGAAUUUUGGUAUUUCAUCGGCUAAGAUUCAACUUUUCCCGUCAAAAUCUUAUUUGUCGGCAUUUCCAUCUUUUCCGACAAAUAAUUCAUCGGUAUAGGCCUUUUUAGCCGACGAAUAAUACUUUUUAGCCUACAAAAUGUGUUUGUCGCCAUGAAUAUUUCGUCGGCACAACCUUCUCUUUGCCGACAAAUUGGUUUUGUCAAGAAGACAUUUAAUUUAUAAAAAAAAAUGCUUUGAUGCUCAGCUCUUACAUAUAUCAAAAUACAAUAGACAAUUGUUAAGAAACAAUAUUUUACUGAUUGAUAAAUGUUGAAUGUACAUCUAGAGUGUAAUACAAAAGUAUCGUUAGUGAAAUCAUAAAACAAUUGAAGGAAUGUUACACAUGAACCAAAUAAAAAAUAUCAAAAGUCAUGGACUGAACUGUUCAUACAAAAGCUCCCCUUGUCCUGGUCUCUCGUCCAUCUCUGCAGUAGGAUUGGCUAAUGGCUCCUCAGGCGACCCAAACUCUCAUGUAACUCAAACUUGAACUCCCUGCAUCAACUAGCCAUGAUUCUGUUGAGGUAGUCAUAGUUUUCGUAAACGGUUAGAUUGAAAUAAUGAUUAGAAGCUCUCAAAUGUGCUAAAUAUCAUUCCUCUAGAUUGAUAUAAUGAUAGAGAUCGUAAAAAAUAUACUGGAAGCUUCUCAGAGUCUAACUUCUAAAAUUAGAGUCUUUAUUUCCACAACACAAGAAAAUGAGCAUUCCUAGCUUUAGAUCAAAUUACCUUCAAAAGUUCAAUAACCCCACAUAUGCAAACUCAAACAUUUAAAAAGAUUAUAUUACGAGUGCAAUUAUAUAUUUCUCGUUUAAUGCUAAUAUAAAAAAUGUGAGCAUUUGUCAUCAUGCAAGAGGUGGCUUACUGAAGAGCAUCAAUUGCAACCUUAAACCUUGGACGAUAUAGCACCAUAGUAGAAAAUGGGGCAAAGCUGCAAUAACACCACAGUAGUACAAUAAAAAAUGAAAACUUAACAUCAUAUUAGUGUCAAGCAUAUAGUGAGUUUGAUUAAGCAUCGGACAUUUAUCAUACAUAGAUUCUUAGAGGCCAGGACAAUGGUUCAUCCAACCUUGUAAUGAACAUUUCAAACCACCUGCCAAUUAAGAGGUUUUCUUUAGUCCCUUAAUAAGAUGCAAAUCAAAAUGAAUGAAAGGAGGUGCAAUAAGUUACACAAUAAUAAUUAGUAGCAGUUCAAAUCUCGGAUUAAUUAGCAGCCCUCAAGUAAGGAGAGGUUCUCCUUUAGCCUCUUAUGUAAUAGCUGACUAAAGCAUUCAGUUAUUUUCAUCCAAUCGAGGUAUAUCAAACAUCUGAUUAAACCACAAACUACAGAGCUUUAUUAGAGUUUACACAAACAUGAAAAAUCUAACAAAGAGGAUUAGUUCAAUAAAACAUGUAGUGUCAAUGUAACAUAAUUAAGAUUAAGAGAUGACUGAUGCCAUACAACAACUGUUUUCAGCAUAAGAACUCCAUGUACAAGUCUCGCAUUUUCUGUGUUGACAUUGAAUCCAAGUCCAAUUGCACUUCAGGACAAGAUCCUAAAAUGCAACAUACAAUAAAUUUAAACCACUGCACUGUUCAUAACCAAAUGAUACUAGCAUAGUAAUAUUUACAUGGUCACCUGCUGAAUGUGAAGCAAGGCGCCAAAAAGGCUUGCUUCUUGGACAACUUGGGAAGGUUUCUUUGCUCUAACUCACUUCAGAAAACACACAUAUCACCAAAUGAAAAGUACCGUUAACAUCACAGUUAACAAACCCGAGCAAAUAAAAAAUAUGAAGCCAUUUUCUAACCUUGUUUGACAACCUAUUCAAUUCCCUUCAACAGGUACUUUUGAAAAAUUACAAGAACCAAGCAUUGACCCUGCACCAUAAAAAUCUUUCAAACAUACCCAAAUUAAACCAUUACAAGAACCAAACAUAAAACAAGAAAUCAUUCAAGUCACCUCCAAAAUGUAAAUGGAUUGGAAAUCAAUAUCAAACCAAUAUCACACAAAAUGGCAUCUAGUUAAUUAAAAAUUAUAUUAAAUAAAAAGAAAAUAACUAAACCGCUAUACCUUUGGCGCGUUGCGGGUUUGUGAUUGGGAAUUGAAUAGACGGGCCGAAGGAGAGAGAGCCGGAGCAGAUCGAGGCUAAAGGAGUGGGCUGCGAGAGAAACAAUUCGGUAUUUGUGGAGAUUUGGGGUUUUCGUGUUUAACCAGAUGAUCGGGAUAAGAAACCAAUCUAGAGCCUAGAGGGUGAUGACUGCAAGGUAAUUUCAGAGUUGGAGUAGGAGGUGGCAUCGAAGACUUUGUAGAAUAGGAGCGCAGAUUCGAGUCCACGAACGGAAGACGACAGAGCGAGAGAGACGAGGCAGCAACAGAUAUGUGAGAAACGAGGGAGAAGCCCGGCGCUAAUUUUUUAAUUAAUUAGGUUUAGGAAUUUGAAGAUUACCAAUUUUAAUUCUAACCGGCAAUUGUUCAAAAAAAAUUCUAAACGGCAAAAUAAUUUUUUUGUUGCCCACUUAAUUAAAGAAAACGCGCGACUUAAAAAAAAAUCAUUUUCAAGAAGGCGGGAAAACUCCCACCAAAUUCUUACCCAAUAAAAAUCAAGUUUGUCGGCUAACAAUAUCUUCGCCGACAAAAUAUUUGUUGGCCAUAACCUUAAGUCGUCGGGAGAAGUUCGUAUUUAGCCAACAAACCAAAAAAAUUGUCGGGUAAAAACUUUUUUGCCGACAAAAUAAGUUUUGUUGGCUCAAAAUUCAUCGGCAAAAUUAGAUUUUCCAGUAGUGGAUAAACACAAGGACCAAAUUGGUCAAAUUAAAAACACAUGGACUAAAUUGACUUAAUGACUAAAACACAUGGAUCUUUUUAACAUUUAAGCCUUAAUUAUAUAAUAACACAAUCCUUUCUUGAUGCCCAAAAAUAGCACAUUUUUUCUACUCUUAAGUUCCUGCAAGAAACAUUUUACGCAUAAUUUAAGUUGAGCUGCCACUCAGUACUAUGGUCUAGUGGUAUUCCUUUUCACUUGAAUAUGGCUGGGCAACCGUCCAAGGCCCCAAAAAAUUGGGGGCACCGAAAUUAUUAAAGUGUUAUGUUAUAUUGAUAUAUAUUUUUUUAUAAGAGUAUAGAUUUUAAUUUGGUUAAUUGACAAAGAAAUUUAACUAUAAUUGGUGGUUUUUUUUUGUUAAAAUUAAUGAGGAGGUCUUGGGUUCAAAGCACCGUGUGUAUUUAUUUUAUUUUCAAUUUUUACAAAUUUCUUUUCAUAUGAGUAUAAAUUUAUAAAAUUUGGUAAGUAGUUGUUUAUAUUAUUUAAAAUAAACAAGGAGGUCCCGACUUCAAAACAAUAUAUGUCUCUUUUACUUUUCAACUUUUACGAAUUUAUUUUCAUGGGUUUAAAGUUAUGAAAAUUGGCUAAAUGAUCUAGAGGUUAAUCAAAAGUAAUGGUUUUUGUUGCUAAAAUUAACGAGAGAUCUUGAGUUCGAAAUGUUGUGUGCAUGUUUGUUCUUUUCAAUUUUUACGAGUUUCUAUUUGGUUGUUAAUUUCUUUUUAAUUAUUAGCUAGUAGAUAUGUGUGGCAAUUUUAAAACAUUUGUGUCAAUUCAAGUCUAAAUUUCAACAAAGAAUAAUGCAUAGACCAAAUUUGCAAAUCAUAUGAUGUGUCACCAAUAAGUUUAAUUUAGUAUCAUUUAUUGCUUAUACAUAUCAAUUAAAGACUCGAAAGCAUCAUUAUUUUUAUAGACCCAUAUUGACAAGAUUAGUAAAUAAGAAAAAACACAUCACGAUUUAUAUAAAAACACUUUAAAAGUUCAGGUAGAAAAACAAGACUCAUCAUCCAUCUACUUGUAAGCCCGAAGUUUUUUCGUUCCGGUACAAAAGAAAUUAAUUAAUUUUUCCGUGCUUUUAAAUUAUUGAGCUUGAAGUGCUUUUGUAAGUAAUAACUUUAUUGAAGUUUUACGUGUGAAAACAAUAAUUUUCUUAUAUAAAGUUAGGGCACAUUUUUUUGGGUCGCCCAGGGCCUUAAAAAUCUCAAAACCGGCCCUGCUUUAAGUAGGUUAUUACUUAAUAAAGGUGCGGCUAAAAAAAUAUUAUUAUUGUUUACUUAGUUAUCCUCAAUAAAAAUUGUAUAGAUACAAAGAACUAUUGACAAAAAAAAAAAAAAAGAUAAGAAGAACUAUUAGUGGAGUACGUUGGUUUCCAAGAUGUAAAAUAUGCAAAAAAAAAAAAAAAAAUACACUCAACCUUUAAAAUCUAUUGCAUAUAUGUACGUAUGUAGUACUUUCUUUAAGUUAAUGCCUAUCUAUAAACAUGCUUGUGAAGCUAAAAAUAGUAUGGCUUCAACAAGAAAUUGUCCAUAUUGACGAGGUAUUACGUACUCGUAAGUUCAAAGGCGUGAUAUCAACUCUAAAAAAUAAAAUAUUGUCUCAAAUAAUUAUAGAGAAAUAUUUUAGUUCAUCUUAAAUGUUUACUUGUGACAUUGCAUAUUUUUGUACUUAUGGACAAUUAUUAUUAUAUGGAGGUGAUUUUCCUUAAUACGGGACAUAUGACAAUUAUAACUUAUUACAAUGUAGAGUUUAUUUAUAUACAUAACUAGCUCCAAGUUUGGACCAUAAAUUUUUAUGACUAUAAAGAAGGUUAUUCUUAAAUAGAGCAUUAUUAUAAAGAUGUUUUACUAUAUAUUUUUAGGCCUUUUUUUUUAUAUUAAGUUGUCCUGAUUCAAUUAUGUUUUCUUUUAGUUUUAUUAACAAUUACUAAUACUAUAGAGGUAAUUUGACCAACUCUUGUAGAGUUUUUGUUACUAUUUUCUUGCAUCGCAAUUUUGAACUGAGAUUGGAGUUUGGCAUGCAAGUAAAAGCGUGUAUAAGGCCUUUGAAGUUUGAACGUUGACUAUUUUAAUUGAAGUUUUAGUACGCUGAGGUAUAGUAUUGGUGUGUGCUAACCUUUUACACGACAUGAAUACUUUAACACACAUACACACACAAAAAUUGAAUCAUAUUGUGAUGACUCAAGUCUUAUUUGACUUGAAAUGUGCCCAAGCGUGUUUAUUAAAUUAACUAAGACAACUCAAAACUAAUUAAGACCUCUCUAAUCCACUAGCCAGACCUUAGUAUUGUUUUUUCUUAGUUUUAUAGGAUAAAUCGAAUAAGAAUAAGUCAUGAUGUCUAGAAAGGUUGUCUAAAAUGAUUCGCUGUGAAAUUUGAACUUAUAAUCUUCUUUGGAAAAAUGAAAAUCAGGUGCCGCUAAUCAGGGCCGGCCCUGAGGGGGUGCCAGUCGUGCGACCGCACAGGGCCCCCGAUUUUUAGGGGCCCCUGAAUUUUAAUAACCUUUGUAAUGUACUACAUAUAAAAACAAUGUGAACACAAUUCACAUUGUUUCCUUAGGGGAAUCGUCAAGCGCUGAUACUUGCGUUUGUGUUUGCACGGGUUCGACUCCCAGUAGAACCAUUUUGGGCUUUUUUUUAAACUACAUUAAUUUUUUUUCUUUUCUCUUUAAUAUUUGUAGUUUAAUUUCUAUCAUUAUAAAAGAGAACUUUUGAUGAUAAAUCUAUAAUUAGGAAUAUCAUAAUUAAUUAAAAUCCUUAAAAAGUUUGAAGAUAUAAUCUUUAAAACCCCCUUUUCAUAUAUGACAUCAUUUAAUCAAAUACAUAUCGUUCGUUUAUUCUUUUGGUCAGCUUUUAAGGAUCAUCUAAUUUUCAUCCUAUUUGAAAACCAUUUAGUCAUCCAUAUAUAAUAAAACUUUGCUCACAACACUAAAGUGGAGGUGAGUAGGUGAUGCUCAUCCCCCUAUUGAUUACCGUUAAAUUAAUUUGGUUUAAUUGAUUUAAGACACGAAUCUCAAAUUCUAACUAAUCCAACAACAAUCAACCGAGUGAGGGUUAGAAUCAUUCUCACUUUAGGGAGUGAGAAAAAAUGCAUUAAAAAAACUUACAGCUCAUUAUAAGAUGCUACAAAUAUCAUAACCAGUGAUUUGUUUAACUAGUUCAUAAUAAAGAACAUGAGUUGUUCUGAUUAUGAUAUAUGUACGGUGAUAUGAUAUGUACAUAUCCACCACACCAUGCUUUUGUAUUUAAAAAGUAAGUUCAAACCCAAAAACAUAAAGAAUGUAGAUACAUAGCCACCAAACCAUGCUUCUUUUUUAUUUAUUUUCUUUUGCGUUUAUAUCAAUUUAUACACAAGAAAUAUAUAUAUAUAUAUAUAUAUAUAAAAGAAAAUAUAGCAACCAAAAUUUAAAUCUUGUAAGGGCCUCUGUUUGAGUCUCGCACAAGGCCUCCAAAAUCUCAGGACCGGCCCUGCCGCUAAUCCAAAACGAUAAUAAGCGAACAAAGUGUAUUAAAAUAUUAUUGGAGGAAAAUGAAGAGAAUGUGUUGUACUUAAUUAAACGUGCAAGAAAAUUUUGGUAGAAAUUAGUUAAUUUGACCUCAAAAGAAAUGUUGAAAGAGGAAUUGAGGAAUAGUUUGGAUCAAAUGAUAUCACUGCUGACAACUUUGGAUCAUAUUCUCUAUUUUGUCUUUCUCUUCUAUAUAAAAUCAAUCUAAUAUAUGUUGACGUGGCUUAACCGUGACUGUUCAAAUAGGAAGGAAGGGAAGGAGAGGGAAAAAAAGAGGGGAGAUAUACACACACACACACUCUUAAAUUUAAACCUUAAGCUCACAAGACAUACACUCAAAUUGUCAUUCAAAGUGUUUGGGGUUAAAGUGUAUACGCUCAAAAGAUCAUUAUAUGAAUGCUCUACCAUAAGCAUGCAGAUUGAUCUCAUCUCCACACAUCAAAAAUUACCUUCUUUGGAUCAAGUAGGUCUUUGUGAAGGGUUGUAAAGGGGCUUCGGUGACUUGGUUAAUCAAAUAAAGAAUAUGGGAAACACAAAGUCUAAGAAACUAAUAGAGUAGUUGGAAAUGAAACCGAGAGAGACGUGCGACAAUUAACCAAGGCAAUAAAUUGAGCAGUUUGAUGAACGACACAUAACUGCACAAUGAAUAUCUGAUGAUGGUAGCUCACUUGUGACUCAUAAUGAUUUCUUUUCCUCUUUUCUUCUUUUGUUCUUCAUUAGUAGUUGGGCUUUCUUCAUAAAAUUUUCAUCUUCAACUUUUAAUAACCUUGAACUCUCUCUCCUUUUAAAAAAACGUAUUCUACUAGCUUCUUAGUAGGGUAGGGAAUUUUUAAUAUAAGAGGCUAGGUAAGGAAAAUGUAGGUUUAAGAACAAAAGGCUUACAUAUAGGCUCAUAAGAGCUGACUAGGGGAAAAGCAUGUAUAAGGCCCUGACAUAUAUGGCAAUGGUGGUAAAGUUCUACUACCUACUGUCGUCUCCAAAAUAAAGUAAUAUAUGAUACAAAGUUUUGAGAGAUCUUAAGUCAAAUUCUAGAGAUGCAAAACACAUUAGAUCACACACACGAAUUAAAAAGAGUAUAAAAAUGCAUACACUAUAUUUAGGCACAAAAGCUCACAUGGGUGCGGGUUUUACUCAAGCUAAACAUGUUCAACUCAUUAACAUUCAUAUAUUAUCAAUAAGAGGCUAUUGUCCACAACAGGUCAAACAUAUCAUGCUAGGGUCAUGCUAUCAAGUGAACAAAGCUAGAACUCAUAUGAAAUCAUACUUUUCCAUUUUACCUCAUAUAUAUAUAUAUAUAUUUUUUUUAUUUUUAUUUUUUUAACAAGAAGACAGAAAAAUGCAGUAUCAAUGCUAUAUGAACAUGCAAGCAUACAUAAAUGAAAGCAUUUGCAAAGAGAGAGCUCAGUCAAUAUAAACAAUUUGAAGGUGGAGAGGAAUUGACAAAUACACCACUUUGAUUCUCUUUUAUUCUCCAAACUUGUUGCACUUUUGGAACAACCGUACUCGGAACAUAUAUAAUUCUUGCAAUCCGAUUAAUCUCUUUCAAAUAAGUCACAAAUUGUUUCUUAAGAUUUGCUUUUUUAGAGUUCAUUGAAACUUUUUUCUUGAGAAGAAUUUUUCUUCCUAAGCUUAUUGCACUUAGGCCGGAUGUGACCAGGAAUCCCACAAAAAUGACAUAUAGGAAUGAACUUCCUAGAUUGUUUGGGUUUGUUAGGAUUAACUGAAGUCUUGGCAGGAUUUGACACAUUUGCAAAGAUUGUAGAAGUUUCAGAAGUAAGACCUAAAACUGGAUUGACACCUACUUUCAAGCUAGGAAAUAUCAAACGCUUUGACAAAUCUUGUGAUGGAAGAAGAACUAAUAGUCUUUUCAAACUCAAAUCCUAGACCUUUUUUAUCUCCAAAAUUCUUUCCAUAGCUAAGCAUCUUGUCAAAUUUUCCCGAACAUGCUUAAUUCCUGAACUUUGUUUUUUAUCUCAACUAGUUCAUCCUAAAGAACUUUCUUAUCAAACGUGAGAGUGCUUUUGUGGUUUGAAGAAUAUGUAUCUUCUCUAACAAUGACUCUCAUAGUUUCUCUCUAUUGUCUAACUAAGAUUGAUGCUCAGCUUUAGCUUCCUUCUUUUCACUUUCAGCUAAUGCAAGUUUCUUUUUCGAGUUAGAGUUAUCCUUCUUUUCUUUACUUGCACACUGAUGUCUUAAAGAUUAGAAUAUUUUCUCAGGAUUUCUUCCAAGUCAGGUUCCUCAACAAAUGAACCUUCUGUGUCAUAUCCAUCAAUAGUUCCUAUAAAGGUAGUUGUAUCCUUUUCAUUUUCAGAGGAAGAUGCAUCUCCUGAAUCAUUAUCUCUCCAAGUAACAUUCAUUGCCUUAUUCUUCUUCUCCUUCUUCUUGAUAGUAUUUGCACACUCAUAAGCAAUAUGUCCAUACCCUUGGCAUUCAUGACAUUGCGCUCUAUUGUUAGAACUCUUACACUCCCUAGUUCUAGAGGAUUUAGAUGCUUUGUCAUGUGAGACAUCUAGAGAACGAAAGUUUCUAGAGUUUGAACCUAAGUUGGUUCGUUGCUCACGACCCUUGGAAUUCUGAGAGUUGAGAAACCUUCUAAUUUGCAUGGUUAAUGCAACCAAUUCAUCUUCGAACAAGUCAUCAAUUGAGCCAUCGCUUUCUUCUUCUUUGACAUCUUUGAGAGCAAUGUUUUUCAUCUUAUUGGAAUUAGGAAGCUCUAACUCAUGUUUGCAGAGGGCCAAUCAGUUGUUCGAGCUUGUAGGUGUUUAGAUCUUUUGAUUCCUCAAUUGCAGUCCUUUUAAUAUGAAACCUCAUAGGAAGUGAUCUUAAGAUCUUUUUUCACAAUUCUAUAUUUUGGAAUGCUGUCACCAAGAUUGUGGCAGCCAUUGACAAUUACGCUAAGCUUAGCAUAUAAGUCAAAGAAACUCUCAUCAUCAAACAUUGUGAUAUUUUCAAAUUUUGUGAUGAGAUGUUGAAACUUGGAUUCUUUAACAGUUUAGUAACUUCAAGAAUAUCCCAAACUUCUUUCGCCAUUGUACACUUGCUUAUGUAAUCGAAUUGUUCUGGCGAAACGGCUAUGAAGAAAGUAUUCAAAGCCUUUUGGUUAAAAGUGCUAGAGCUACGCUCAUCAUUGCUCAAUUCUUUCCUAGGCUUGAGCUUAGAUAUAGAAUCAAAGGACUUUCCUUCACAUUUUGUUUCUUUGAUCAUCAGAGGUUCCCAACCUUCUUCAACAGCAAGCCACACCUUGUCGUCUUGCGCCCACAAAAACGAUUUCAUUUUUGCCUUCCACGCAGCAUAGUUGUCACCAUCAAAGUGUGGUGGAUGAGAAAUUGAACCCAUAGCAUGAUUCAUCCUAGGCAAUCAACAUCCUCACAACUGUUGGAAAUUAUAUAUUAUGAUAUGAAAUAUUGUAAUAUAUAAUUUUAACAAUUGAAUGAAAAAUAGUGUUAACCAAUUUCUUAGAAAGGUUAUGUUGUUUAGGUGAUACUUGAUAAGUGAUGUAUACUUAUAGAUGAAAAGUUACAUCUCUUUAAUAAGUAGAAGUUGGAUUCUAUAUAAACACAUGAAACCAUUGGUAUUAAAGAUAGAAAAUUAGAGUUAAUUUUUAGUCUUGAGAAAUAGGGUUUCCCCACUUUGUUUCUCAAAUGAUUCGUGUGUCAAAUUCCGAGUCGUGUCUUGAGAGUACAAAAUAUAUAAAGUUCGCUAGAGUCCAAAGAUUGAAGUGCUUUGACUUCGGAUUAUAGAUUGUUGAAUCCUGGGAGAUGGACGCCUACCGAACUACAAGCACAAGAGUAGGGGCAAAAUUCUAUCUUUAGGACAUUGCAUUUAUGCAAGCCUCAAUCUCCAAGUUUGUCAGUUAUUCUAACUUUCACUCUAGUUGUUUAUAUUAAUCUCAAAUAUAAUUGAUGUUGUGAAUUUCUUUAUGAUUAUUAUCAUUGGAAUUAUAUUGUUAUUUUUUCAUAUUUUCUAAUAUUGCUCCAACAACAACCUUAAUCUUGGAGAGCUUGUUCGGCGCUUUCCUGGUGGUCUGGUGAUGCAAAGAAUGCGAGAUCUACCUUGAGAUAAUGAGGUUAUAACCGAGGUGUGUCCAUUGUUUGUUGAAAAAUCUUUCCACACGCCCUUUUUAGGCCUUGGUUAAGCAUUGUGGCUUUGAGAAUUUAUGGAAGGGAGCUCUCUUCGGAGGAGACCCUACUAUAAGAAGAAAAGAGAAAUUCAUUGUGCAAAAAGGUAUUUAGACAACUUUUUUUAAUUAAUUAUUAAACCCACAUCAGCACAUAACAAAUUUUUUUACAGAAUUGUGGUGGAAUGAUCAUAUUCAUUUACAACACCUAUUUUCAUGGACUACAUUGAUUGAUUUUCAAUUUUAGGGACCAUAUUGAUGGUGUGGGUCAAUUUCAGGGGCCAUUUUGAUGAUGUAGGUCAAUUUUAGGGACCAUUUGUGAUAUAAACCUGUAAAUGUUGUGGGGCCUAUUUAGGUGCCACAUCAGUACUUAACGAAAUUUUUAAUAGAAUUGUGAUGGAAUGACUAAAUUGAUUUGCAAUACCUAUUUUCAAGGACUACAUUGAUUGAUUUCUAAUUUCAAGGACCAUCUUGAUGAUGAGAGUCAAUUUAAGGGACCAUUUGUGAUCAAAACCCAUAAAUUUAUUGGUUAUUUUAACUAAACUACCGUUGGAUGUUUUUAAAUCAAUCCACUGAAUUUGAAUUAAUUAUUGCAACUAAGAAGCUGGGCCCCAAAAAGGGCUAAGAGGGGGCUACAUUUGGUCAAUCUCAUGCCCUUUAGGCCAAAUAAUGGCCUAAUGGGCUCCAUAGAAUUAUAGCUCAGUAGUCAGUUGGAGAUGAAUUUUGAAUAAAUCAGGCCAAUUUUUUUGCUUUUAAACCUUUAGCCCUCUUCAUUGGAGAUGGCCUUAGUUGCAAAAUUCCUGCAUGCAUGUUACAGGCAUUUUAAAUAUCAUGAAUUAAUAGACCAUGUUAUUUACCAUAUAUGAUUGAGCAAAUACUCAAGGCUUGUGAGGAAUUUGUUAUUUUUUUCCGGUUACAUAUAUAGGCUUCAAAUUAUUCCCUUGAUCGUUAAGCUCUACCUCGCUUCAACUUUCAAGACCAUGUUUUGUGUCAUCUGUAGUUAAAUAAUGUUGCAUUAAGCAGGGUAAAAAUAAAAAAUAAAAAACCUGGAAUAUCAGAAAAAAUUGCUCGGGGAGUUCUUUGAGUUGUCUGCAUGCAGAAGAACACUUAACCGAAUUAGUCUGAACAGCCAUUAGAUGUCGAUAAGUAGGAGCCGCCGGUCAGUAGCAUGGCACACUACCACGACAACUAAUUGAAUUCCAAACAUAUAUAUGCAAAAAUAGUUUUAAUCAACUAUAGAGUUUCUCUUACAUAUAUAGAUUAUAUCAAACAGCCCAUCGCAUUAUUGGGAGUUCGAUACUUCUUCGGUGCUGACAGGCAUGGCAUAUUUUGUGGUUGCAUUAAUUUACUUCCUUUAGUUGGUGGGGUUGUUGAACCUAUUUCAGACAUCUUGAUCACUAAAAUCGACUAAAGUGUACACUAUUUCUCUACAAACAAAAACAAGGUCAAUUGAAGCUGGCUAAAGCUGAAAACUCGAGGAAAAUUAAAGGUGGGUGUGUUGAGAACUGGAGAAUGCUAAACCCUCUAUUUAUACUAGUUUGUUGUAGGCUUAUUUCCUUUCCCGAAAACAAAGUUCUAAAUAGGCUAGGAAAAAAUAUAAAAUCAAAAUCUUUCCAAACCAUAGUAGGAUAUAUGGCUAAAUCAUUACAGAGAAAGGCCCGACCAAAAUAUCCUACAGAGAAAGGGAGAAAAAAGAAAAAAAAAAAAAGCUUUUCCAACCAUAAUAUAGGUAUAGCUAUAAUCCCAGAUAGAAAGGGAGAACACAAAUAGUAAGAUAUGAGAACAAAUAUACAGUAUAUGAAUUCAAGGAGAAAAGGUAAGUUAGACGCCGUUUUAUGCUUUACUCUUUAGAUAUCGCAUUCCCUUUUUAUUCGCUUUUUCUUCCCUUCUCCGUUCUGGUUAAAGAGUGAACAUGAAGAAAUUAAUACUCAAAAGUUGAUCAAUUAUAUUCCAUAGACACGACUGAGAAAAUUGGAAUUGAACGUGUUGGGUUAAUCAGUGGAAGGUUUCUUAAUUGUCAAAAUGAUCAAUUUUUUGUUUACAUGGGAUGUAGAUUAAUAGUAUGUAAUGGGAAAAAGAUAUACACAUGUUUUCAAGAUUUCCGAAGUUUCCCUAUGGUAGCGUUUGGUACGAAGAUAGGAUGGAACAGGACCAACGGGAUGGAAUGGAACAAAAUAGAGGUUUCAUGCUACGUUUGGUACGCAUAUGAUGGAAUGGGACAAUCAUUCUAUUAUGUGUUUGGUACGCGUAGGAUGGAAUGGAACGAAGGACUAAAUGACAAACUCACCCAAGUUUCUUUGUUGACACCAUCGACUCAACCUCAUGGAUUACCUGCAAAACUUGGAUUUUCUACAACCAUAUAUAUGAAGGAUUUUCUGCACGACUUGGAUGAACUUCUCUCAAGAACAAUUUUUUUUACAACCCUAAAACUUGUUUGGUAUCUAACCUGGAAACUAUUUUAAAUCUUCAAAGAUUUAGGCUAUAUAACCCAAAAACUUGUUUGUACAAAACCAUUAGAUGGUAGUGGCUGAGGGAGGAUAUUAAGGUCAGGUCGGGAUCCGAGAAUCUUUACGACUUGAUUUGGAACUCUCAAUUUCACACUAAUACUAUGAAGUCGUGUUGUCUUCAGAUGGGUUUUGUUCACAUAUAUGGUGGUGGGUUGCUAAUUUCAAAUGUUGCCAUUGAAAUUGAGGAAGUUUGAAAUAAAGCUUUGGUAAUGGCGGAGAGGUGAUGUUAGGGCUUGUGGGUGAUUAGAGUGAGAGGACAGUGGGUCAGGGAUGGUGGAAGAAAAUAUCUCAUUUGCGAAAAGAUCCAUGUCACGGUCGUCAAAACAUCUCUCUCAGUCGCCGGAAACAUUAUUCUUGUCACCGCCACUUACUCUCAAUUGAUGUUUGGUGUCGUUGGCCUCGAUGCCAAGGUCCUGCAGAUAUUGUGAAGAAGAAAAAAAAAGGUGUAAUUAUUGAAAAAUAUAAGGGGCAUUGUUGUCUUAAAAUUUUAUAAUUUUGUGUUCCACGGGGUGGAACGAGUCAUUCCAGGAGGGGAGGUGAAACAUAAAUUUAACCAAAAUUCGUUUUGUAAGACAACGCGUCUCACUGUCUUUGGCUCACCAAACGUGGGACGAGCGCAUUCCGUCCCAUCUCACGUACCAAACGGUACCUAGGAUCAUAAUAGAAUUUUAAUUAAUUUAUAAAUAAUUCAUAUAUAAGAUUUGUUUGUCAAAGGUUGGUGACACGCCUCAACCUCGAUAUCCCCAAAUACUAGGAUAGGCAUGUAUUGGCCGACACCUGAGGGUGAUGAAGCCAUAUUAAACAUGCAUACAAAUAAAAUAGGUAAUUAGACAGAAAUAUGCCAAAGCAGAAACAUGUUUAGAGCAUACAACUAAUCAUGAAUAAUGUGAAAGAAUUACAAUAAAAGUGUAUGAAUAAAGGAAUGAGUUCUACUUUGAAAAGACUCGAAGAUACCUAAGCGGAAAUGCCCAGACGCUAGGAUUGUGUGCCUCAAUUCUAACUCCUGAAGGGGAUGCAAAACAAAAGAGUGAGUGGACCAAAAUUUAUAAUAAUAAUACUAGUAAUAAGAAAAUCAUUUUGUUUCUGAACAUACUAGCUCUUGUUUUGAGAAACAUUAUAUAAUACUACAGAAUAGGUUUUUUUUCCGAAAAAUCUAGCAUGCCAUGAAAAACAUUCAUAAAACACUUACAUAUAAGCCUGUACUCAGAUAUGGUAGUAUAGCUGCGCGAAGGUAAAUUCGUAAAACAUCUGUAAAUCACAUCAAUUAUGUACUCCACUAGGGGUAUCAUAGUCGCCCGAAGGCAUAACAUGUCCAUCACCCGAAGGUGAAGCUGUACGACACCCGAUUACGCCAGUGAAGGAACAUGGUAGGCCCUAUCACCCGAAGGUGAAGCUGUACGACUAUAGGUUACGCUAGAGAAGAAAAAUACCCAAAUAUACAUAACACAUCGACAGUAGCAGUGGCUAGUGAAGCUGUCCGGCACUGGUUUCGCCAGUGAAGUUGGGGGUAUGACAUAAAUAUCAACAAUUGUGUCCUAUGGCCAUAGACGUCUACAUACCCGUGUUGUGUGUAUAUAUUGUAUGAUAACCCACUACAUAAGUACCAAAACGUAUCUCAAAAACUCAUAACAAAUCUCCGGAGCUCAAGGGCUCAAAACAUCAAUUCAUAAACCAUGAUAAAUCAUAUUCAUAAAUUCAUAAUAUAAAUCAUAUUCGUAAUCUAGAGAAUUUCAAAUACAGAAAACCAAUAAUUCAUAACCUUUCGUAAAACAUAAAUUCGAUAAAUCAUAAAUAACGCAUAAAACGUAAGAUUAUGAAAUCAUGCUUUUCGUGAAUGCAUGCCUAAUAUUUUAUAAAACAUGCAAGUUAAGAAGGGGUCCACUCACAGAUAUUCAAUUCUAGGAAAGCCGGUCAAACUAGGGAUGAUAGAAUCACUUCCAAUUGAUGCACCUAAACACAAAUGGAGAUCGUUUAAUAAAACUCUACUAAAACGAUAGAAUUUGGGGAAACGAACAACGGAUUUGGAUUUGGCACGUCGAAAAACCUAAGAAGGGACAUCGGGUUCCCUAACGCGCCAUUGCACGCGCAUAGAUGGUCACUAGAAAGUUUGUCAAAAAAGUCAUUGAUGCCGCCAUGGACGACGGCGGAGCACAGUACCUUCGAUGGAGGCGCGUGUGCUUCAUGCGCCGGCCAUAGCAGCGUCCACGCAUGGCCUAUGAGCUGACCGUGGAAACUGUGUUUCAGGCUCAGGUCGAAUCUGGGCUUAGGUUACUCGGUUAGGCCGAGUUAUAGGGUUGGGCCUUAGUUAAUGGAUUGGAUUUUGGGUCGAGGAUUUGGACCAGAUUUCAUAUUGGAUUUGGGUCUGGUUUUGGGUUGUGGGUCGGGUUGACCCGAUUGGGCUCGGGGCUCACUGGACCCAACGAAGGAGAAUCAGAAUUCUAGGGAUUUUGGCCAAGAAACUUCCUCGGCUCUGAUUUGGGGUUAAAUCUUAACCAUUUCCCACGUUCUACUUACCCUAAGUCAGCAGUGGCCGGAGUUGGCCAGAAUUUGGCUUUCAAGCUAUCUGAUUUAUUGCCAAAAACUAGAGAUUCUAAGAACACAAGCAUGCAUGAAUAAUUAGUCCCAAACUCAACCCUAAUUCAUCAUGAGCAUCUCACGAACAUCGAAAAGAGAAAGGAUCGCAGGCAUCCCGAGUCUUACCUAGGUCGAAGUUGUUAAGAACCUUUAUUGUUCUUGCAUAGCGAUCACAAACUCGAGGGAGAGAAAUAGGGAGAGAAGAUGGUGGUGGUCUGGAGGGUUCAAGUGGUAUAAAGGCUUGCCAAAGAGGCGACGUGAUGUGGUGGUGGUGUUGUGUGUGUGUUGCUUGGAAAGAAUGAGAGAAUGAUAGAGAGAUGAGGGAGAGAUUUCAAGAGAGUUCGAGAGCAUCGGGGGAGAAAACAUGGGGAAGGAGGGAAAGUGGGGUGAACAUGGGGAAGGAGGGAAAGUGGGGUGUGGGCCCCACAGCUCACAAAAAGCAUACACAAGAAUAUCCCCAACAUAAAAUUACCAAAUUGCCCUUCACGUUCGUGAGUCCGUAAAAUCUCCAUCUUAGCACCAAUUUCAAUUUCCCUUAUGCCCAUGUAUUCGUAGUGACGAGUACUACAAGGACAUGCCAAGGAAAAGAACCUUACGUGAUACAACAAGGUAGUCAACAAAAGUCAACGUUUUGCCUUGAAGGGCAUUUUCGUAAUUUCACGCUUAUAAAACUGAAAUAUUUGGGGACAGGUCGUUACAGUGGGCACAGUCUGAUUUAAACAUGUUUCGCACCUAAACUAGUGACCCAACCAAUUAUUAAAUGAUGGAUCAUUUUUGUUCCAUUUUAAAUAAAUCUGGGUGAAAUUAAAUCAAACCAAACCAAAUAUUUGUGUCCAAGUCCAAUCCUUUUUUUCUUUUGCAAUUUUGUUGUUAGUACAUAGGCCAACAUGUACAUGUGAAGAAAAUACGAAUACAAUAAGAAAGGGAUGUUCGGUUGUGAUUUGUAUAGGAUCAAAAUCAUGGUUUUAUCGUUUGGUUCGAUUUUGAGACCGUUUGAAUUGUUGAUGAUCAAUACCGAACCAAAUUGCUCCUUACAAUUUGAACCGAUCAGUUUGAUCCUCACUCCUACAUACAUGUGCAAAAUAUAAAUAAACCAGAAACAGAAAUAAAAAAGAAGGAAUUUCGUCUUUAUUACUUUGUAUUAUGUAUAUUCUGUCAAAUAUAAUCAUUUAAAUUGGGAAAGCUAAUGAACCUUUUUUUUACAGCUUACACAACUUAUCCAAGGAAACAAUGCAGCAUCCUGUACUUAUUCACUGUCAAGAAGAUUAAAUAUAAAUUAAACGUUGUGGAAUAAAAAUCUAAUUAACUUUUGCAGGUUCUGUUGGAUUCGAACCGCCGGGUGGGGCAGGAGCCUUCAGCAGUACUUGCCUGAUAAUCAGAUCCUCAAUAGGGAAGUCCUGAUUAUGCAAAACAUCCUUCUUCACCGUCAUCAACUUGUCUUUCCCAUGAUACAACACUCUGCAGGCCUCAUUCGACUGCGUGUUCACAAGAAAAACCACUACCAUUGCCACCAAAAGUAUAUUUAAAAACUUCAUGUUGUUCCUUGUUUGUCAAACAAUGACUUUAUUAAUUUGCUCUUUUUUUCUUCUCUUUUCUUCUCAAGCUGUAUGCAAUGCAAAUAAAAGAUGGAAAUCGGAAGGAUUGAGUUGCAAUGAAUAAUAAGUGGGGG
RNAcentral lists this long non-coding RNA (71066 nucleotides) under Malus domestica (apple). RNAcentral's name for it is "long non-coding RNA (MDOM_LNC005120)". The record is from RNAcentral. Lineage: Eukaryota; Viridiplantae; Streptophyta; Magnoliopsida; Rosales; Rosaceae.